AGUUAAAAUAUUAUCCAAUCUCACCAUUUAUUUAUUAUAAAAUAUUAGAUACGAUACAUAAUUAAUUAAGAGAUGGAUGAGGUUUUUUUUUGUAUAUAUAUACUCACUUCAUUUAUUUAGGUGUGUGUGAGUGAGUGAUGAUGGAGUAGUCCUAGGUAAUAGUAACGGUUGCUAGAGAUGUAAGUAUCCCCAAACUUGCUGCCAAAGUUUGACCCACCGCAUCCUGAAGUAAGUUUCCAAUAAGGAUAACGGGAGCUACAAGGUUUCCUGUGGUUGGAGUCAAAGUGCAAUUAGCAAUUGGGAGAGGAAUCCUUGCAAUACAUGUUCCUGACAGAAGACUUGUAUUGGUGGACACUGCAGCAUUAAUAAUGCCUUGACUAUUUGCGGACACUUGAGCAAUCGUUGUGUUGCCACAAAUAAUCGUUACAUUUGCUCCAUUCACUCCGACGCCUGGGGCAUUACUUCCUGGUACGGAGCAAGACAAACUCCCCAAUAUAGUUAAAUUAAUAUUCGUUGGUAUAAUCGGUGGUACUUGACCACCAACAGGUGGUACAAUCGGUGGUAUACUAAUGGGUGGUACAAUCGGUGGUAUAUUAAUGGGUGGUACAAUGGGUUGGCCAAGAAUAGGACCAACAAUUGGACUGAGAAUAGAACCAACAAUCGGUAAUUGGCCAAGACCAACAGGUGGCACUUGACCAACGGGUGGUACAAUACGUGGUGGUGCAGGUUGACCCAAUAGGGGAUGCAAUAGAGUACCCACAAAGGGAAUGGGACCCAAAAUGGGACGAACAAUGGGACCAAGGUUAAUAGGCAAUUGAGCAUGGGCUAGAGGACUGGUGGUGAUGAUGGAAAGUAGAAUAACAAGGGAAACAACACACAUUUUUGAAGACAUGAUGAUUUGAUAAUUUUUAUUCUGUUCAAUAUACCCUUUAUAUAGUGCUCCUUUUUAUUUACUCCACCCCUACCUUAACUUACCCCACCCCCCAACCUAUAUAAAUGAUUAAAUAUAUUAUCUUUCAUCCCUAAAUAAGACUUACAAAUAUCUCACAUAUAUCAUCAUUAGUUAGGUUGAAACUCAUCAACUUGAACAACAUUGGGACCAUACAAAUUAAUUAAUUCAAUAUCAUUUGACUUGUCAUAAGAAGAAAUUUUUUUUGUAAGCUGAGGCCAAAAGGCCUUUGGUUUGCCCAUAGGACUCCCUUUUUCUUUUCUUCUACCAUUAUUUUUAAAGUAAUUAAAAGUUGAAGAUUUAAAACAAAUACCAUAAAUUUAUAUUUUUUUAAUUAUUAAAGUAAUUUACACAAUUUAUUUAUUUUUAUUUAUUUUAAAUAUAACCUUUUAAAAUUGGUGUUAAAUCUUUAUAUUUUGGUAAAAAAUUAGGUGUUCACAGUGUGAUUGUUAAUCACUUCAUUAAAAAUUAAAAAAGUUUAAGUAGAAUUUAGAUAAAAAAAAAAUAAGUAAUGUCUACUAAUUAUCUUGAAAUCUAAUGGGUUUAUCACAUUGUUCGAAAUGUAUUAAAAUAUCUAACAUAUAAUUUUAAAAUUGAAGAGAGUUAAAAUUAUAGUAGAAUAAAAGAGAGAUGAAAUUGUGGUAAAAACUGACAUUGAAAGUGAUAAGUUAAUGAAGAUGACAAUGAAUUUUUGAAGAAGAAGGAAGAAAGAAAAAGAAAAAAAUAAUAAGGAGAAAAAGUUAAAAUAAUACGAAAAAUUAAAAAAUAUAUAUAUUUUAUAGUAAAAUUCUUGUAAAAAUAAAAUUAUAUUCGUUUUUUUAGUUUGUUCACGCUCUUUAAGAGAGCGCAUACACUUUCCGUGUCAGGUAAACAAAAAAUGAUGUAAUAAUAUCAAUUCAAAAAUAUUUAGGGAGGGUAAUAGGAUACUUGCUUAGUUUAGAUAUUUUUAUAAAAAUUCGAGACAACUUCAAGUAACAUUUUAUGUCUUUUCUCUAUAUGCUAAAAACCUUUUAAGUAGUAGUGUAUGGAUCACCAAUAUACCACUGACUUUAUAUAUAUAAUAUAAUAUGAAGUAUUUUGUAGAAGAGCCAUGAGUUUCACAAAUAUGUCCAGAAGUAGCAUAACAAAAAUAAGUAGAAUUAGUUAGAUUCGAAUGCACGAUUACUUCUUCAUUUCAAGAAGGUGAAAUCAUUAGGUUAUAAUUAUAAUUUUUUUAAUGUUAAGGAUGUUCAAAAUAUGCUAUUUAAUCAUUUCGUAUGUAUUUUACUUGUUUAUAUGAUAGUUAUUUCUGACGAAAAUCGGACACCCUUAUCACCACGUGACUACGCCACCGGAUGUAUCAAGCUUUAAACACACAGAAAAAUGAGAACUAUAUUUUCUGGUUUUCUGGUAAGAAAAAAAAUAUAUUUAUGUUAAUAUAAUGGCACGAUAGAUGGGCAAGCAGGAGGUCAAUGUAUAUGUUUAAUUUACAUGAUACAGAUGAAUUAGGAGAGCAAUUAAAAUUUAUAUGAUUUAAAAAUAUUAUAAGUUGUUUAUUAUUGUGAAUUAUAGUAUUUUUAAUUUAUGUGACACAUAUAAAAUUUUAAGAGUCAACAAAUUCUUUAAUAAGUUUUAAAAUAUAUUUCAAAUGGUUAAUUAUUAUAAUUUUUAAUAUUUUUUACGCCCUAAACCUACAUCCUAAAUGUAUCGGUACUCAAAAAUCAUCUUUGAUCCCAAAUGAACCUUUAAUCAUAAGCGAAAGACUUACUCUAACAACAGAAAUCUCAAAACAAGAUCAACUCAUAAGAAUAAGUGCUCAACUCUCAAUCUUCAAAACAUCAAGGACUGAGAAAAAGAAGUAAAAUAUUUUUUGGAAGAAUGAAAGGGUGGUUUAUGGGGAGGGGGUUGGAUAAUAAUUUAAUUUUUAUUUAUACGGUGAAUAUUUUAUCUAUGUGAAAUGUCAAAGUGUUAAGAUUUUUCAAAAUAAAAAAUAGAGUACAUUAUACACACCACCAAGGUGUUUUCUCAAACUAAUAAAUACUAGUUUAGCUACAAAACUAAAUAAAAAGAUAGUUUAAAUGUGUUUUUAAUGGGGGUGUGCAAAAAUCGAACCGACCGAUAAAUUGAACCAAAAAUAUGUUAUUGGGUUAUUGAGGUUUUAAUGGGUUUAUAAAAAAAAAUUAAUGGGUUAUUGGUUCGUUAUCAGUUUUUACUAUUGGGUUAUUGGGUAAAUUAAUAACCCAAUAAGACGGUAAUAAUUCACUAUUUUACUCUUCCUAAUUAUUAAAUAUUAAUAAUUUAAUAUAACUAAACACUAUAACUAUAUCAAAUUAUUAGUACUCUCUCCCCUUCACACUAGGCCGCUUUACUAGUUUUUAUUGUUUACUAAAAACCUAAAGACUAUAGUAAGGGUUCACUAUUGUAGCUAUUUGAUUUUAAUUUUAGUUUAGUAUUAUUGGACUAUUUGAUAUUAAUUUUAGUUUGUAAUUGUAGGUUGUAGCAUUUGCAAGUUUGUGAAGGUCCGUAAUUUGAUUAACAUAAAAAAUCUCGUACUAUAUUUUGGCGGUGACAUGUAAUUAUAGCCUUUGUACUAUAUUUAGAAAAGUGAGAAGUCAUAUAAUAUUUUACGAACAUUUUUGUUACUGGGUAAAUCGAAAAUCAAACGUAUAACUACCAAAAAACGAUAAAGAAUAUCUUAUUGAUUGGUUAUCGGGUUAGUGUUGACACCCAAUUUUGGACCUCCACCAUAUAAAUAAUCAAUUCGAGCUUCUUCGAUUUUAGACGAUUUAAAAUAAUUAGUUUAUAAAAUUGUAAGAAAAUUUCAAAGUUUGCACCUUAUUUUAAAUAGUUUUGUCGCUUUAUAUAUAUAUAUAUAUAUAUAUAUAUAUAUAUAUAUAUAUAUAUAUAUAUAUAUAUAUAUAUAUAUAUUACACAACUAUGUAUACAAUUAAUAUAUUUUUAUGAUUACUCAAAAAUCAUCUCAAAAAGAUUUUACUUUGUUUAAAUAUUUUACUAAUUAGUUUAGUUAUAUAAUAGUUUACAUUCUUGAAUUAGUUAUUCUAUAAUUAAGUCGAUUAAUUUAUUUAAUUAAAAUUAAGAAGCUCGUUAAUUAAUUAUACUAAUUCAUCGAGUUUAAUGUCAAUCAUUUCACCAUUCAAUUUCUAAUUGGUUUAAGUAUACAAUAUUUGGUUGCCAAAAGACCAAAUUUGGGCCUCCAUUUUGAAUUGAGCAACUUUCACAUAUAGCAAAUAAAAAAUUCAUAUUUGUAUGCUAUAGCAAAGUUUGCAUAAUUGCGUUCCAUAGCAAACAUAGAAACUGUAUAAUUCGCUAUAUAUAUACAGUUGAAGCAAAUUGUAUAAAUUGAAGUGUAUAAAACAAGAAAGAGAAAGACACUUGGAUAGAGAACUGUAUAAAAAUGAAGUGUAUAAAACGAAUUGUAUUAUUAUAAGUGUAUAGAACCAUUUUAUAAAAUUUGAAUUUGUAUAAAAUGAGAAAGAGAGAAAGACAAAAGAGACUUGACAAGGAAUAUACAAUUGAAUCGAAUUGUAUAAACGAGAAAGAGAGAAAGGCAAAAGAAACUGUGCAGGGUAGUAUUUUUAUUGUAUAAUUACAAGUGUAUAGGAUGAAAAUAUAUGUAUUUGCAUGUGUAUAUACAAUUUUCUCACGCUUUAUACAAACAGAAACACAAUUUAUGCAUUUUGCUUCUCUUUGUAUAAGUGAUAAAGGCGAGGGUGGCGAGCGAGAUCUGGAAGAGGGAAGAGAGGGGAACAAAAAUAUAUGUAUUUAUGCAAUUUUCUCUACUUUAUACAAUUAGAAACAAUUUUUAUACACUUGUGUUUGUAUAAAAAAUGAGGAAGCGAGUGAGAUACCGGAGGAGAGUGGCGAGCUUGAUAUUUGGGAGAGAGGCGCCGGGAAUUUUUUUACAAACGUUUGGUAUGGAGCACAAUUAAAUCAAACUCUAGCUACUAUAUUUAUUUUAGGUUAUUAGUUUGCUAUUAUAUACAAUUUUCCCUUUUAAAGAGCAUUUCAGCCCAAUCUUAAAUUACAUCAACCAAACCAGCCACUCCAACUUCCUUUUUAAAUAGUAUAAAUUUAAGGAAUUCCAUAGUGUAAUACAAUUAUUACAUUCUGUCCCGACAAAUUUAGUAUUUACUAAUAAUCCCUUAAAAUUGUUGUGGCGUGAUACAUUAGUAUGUUGUGAUAUAUGGUAAAUAAUAUAUAGUAAUUUAAAAUUGUUAAGAUUAAAAGGGGGUAAAAUGGAACAUUUAAAUUUGUUAUCUAAAUCAGCUUAAAUUACGGUAACAGUUCAUUAAUAAGCAUUAAUUCAACACGUAAUUGGAUAACAAUUUCAAAUUUUGAAAAUUCAAGAUUAUAUCAUCUAGUUUGAAGACAUUUUUAUGAACAUCCAGUUAUUAAACUUAUUGACUGAUACAUGAUAACAAUUUUCAAAAACUUUUGAUACAUAGGAAAUCAUAUGAUACACAUCAAAUUCAUGUAUCAAUGCAUCGUCUAAACACUAUAACACACUGAGUCGAUAUGUAUCAGCAAGCACACUUGAUGGCGCAGUUAUUAAGCUUAUUGACUGAUACAUGAUAACAAUUUUCAAAAACUCUUGAUACAUAGGAAAUCAUAUGAUACACAUCUAAUUCAUGUAUCAAUGCAUCGACUAACACACUAUAACACACCGAGUACUUAUGUAUUAAACUUAUUGUCUGAUAUAUGAUAACAAUUUUCAAAAAUUCAUGAUACAUAUGAGAUUCCUUUACUAAAAUUUUUACUAAUUUCAACAACAAUGGUUGCUGCUUCUUUUCUCUUUUUUGGGUGUAUUUUGUCAACCUUUGCUUUAGAUGAUUCGCCAAAAUCUUUGUUUGAAUCCUUCCGAACAUUCAUAGGAUCAUGCAAAGAUUUUUUUUUAUUUUCUUUCCAAUUUUCAUCGUCCGAAUCAUAAAUCCUUCUAUUAGUAAAAGGAUUCAUUAAUAUGAUGUAAUAGAACAAUGAACAGAAAUAAAAUAAAAAAAAGAACGGAUGAUGGAGUAAGAAGAAAAAGAAGACCUAGAGACGGCUGAUGUAAUAUAGAAAUGAACAAGAACAAAAAAAAGAACAGAUGAUGGAUUAAGAAGAAGAAAACUAUAGACGGAUGAUGGAGUAAGAAGAAGAAGAAGAACCAUAGAACAAUGGUCCAAUUUUCAGAAAUUUCAAAUUUUUUGAAUUUUGAAAUUCAAAAUUUCAUAUUAAAUGUUGUGAAAUGUUUUUAAUUAAAAUUAAUAAUUCAAAAUUCAGAAAGUGAUUCAUGAAUGUUUUAGUGGAGAAAAAAUAGGCAUGAUAUUGGGGAAGUGUGUGUUAUAGGAGAGAGAAGGCUAUGUAUCUCUAAACUUCUACUAAAAAAAGAAAAUUAUGUAAUAUUUAUAAAAAGAAGGGAAAAUUAGAGAAUACUAAACUUAUAGUUGUGUAUUUAAGUUAUUUUUCCUUUUAAAUAUACCGGCCCAACUUUAUUAUUCCCAAAUGGAAAAAUUACAUAAAUUAAUAUAUUUUAAAAAAUAAUUACUGAUUUUAGUGAUACUUUUUGUUUAUUACCAUUUAUAGCAAUGCUUUGUUAAAUCUAUAAUAUGUAUUAAAAGUGAAUUAUGUAUGCAAUAUAUAUGAAUUAUAAUUGUUUUUUGAAAUAAAUCAUGUUUGUUUGAUAAAAAAUUAUCACAUUGUAUUUUAAGUGUAUUAAAGUGUGUGAUAAAUUUAUUAUUCAUCAUUAAAAUUUGUAUUAUAUGUGAAUAAUAAAUUGUUCUUUGUAAUAUGUAUUAAACUUGUAUUAUAAAUGAAUUAAAAGUGAUCAAGUGAGGUAAAAAUAUUAUUGCUAUAAAUGAUAAAUAUUUUUUAUUAUAGUAUAUUUAUAUAAGUUUCCCUUCCCAGAUUUACCCCAACCCGGCCCAAUUCUAUCUUUAACAAGAGAACCCAGUAGUGUUCCAAACCGUAAGCCGACAAAAGUUCCAAGCACCAAAGUUUACGGACGGAAAACCAUUACACAACGCCUUCACGCCUAACUUCAAUGGUAAAAGCAGCGCGUGGAGGGCACCAAGAACAAAUAGUUAUUUAGUUUGUGGUUCGAUAUUGUAAUACUUCUGUUCAACUGAUUUGAGAUUUAUUUCUUGAUGGUCGCAAGUCAUUAGAAUUUUGAAAUGUUUUUGAUUUGGUGUCGGCUGGAAAUCAGUGGUGCAACUUGAAAUAUUGUUGUCUCAUUUGUAUGAAGUUUUAGGUCUUCCUGCCUAUAUUGCUGAUGCUCCUGAUUUUGACAUAUUGAAAUCGCUAUAUUUGUGUUUUGUAGUGUUGUUGUUGUUGUUGUUGUUUCAUUAAGUCGCCAGAGAUAUCACACCCUUUUUCUGCGCGUGGCGUAAGACGGUAAGGGUUUUUCCAAUUUAAGUGACGUUAUUGAUUAGGGAAUUAUUUUAUUUUUCAGCGUCGCCACUUGGAUUUAAGUUAUGGCAAGUCAACUUUUCUUUUAAUCCCUAACCAAAAGGAAAUAACUCUUUAUUUUGGUCCGUGGACCAGAAAUUUAGGUAAGGAAUCCUGUUGAAUGAGGAGAAGGUAUUAGGCAUCCUUCGAGUCCCGUGGUUCUAGCACGAUCACUUUUAUUGACUUAUAUUUAUUUUAAAAUAUUUUUGGAUAUAUUAUUUUUAGGUAUUGACUUGUUUGCAUUUUUAUUCUUGAACUUUUAUUUAGUCUCAAAUCAGAUGCAUAACUGCAUUCUCGACUUUGACAUUUGGAGACAUAAUUGUCUUCAUCUCUCAAGUUCCUCCCACCUAAUAAUUGUCUAUAAGUGUCACUCUAAAUAUUUAUAUUUAUAAACAAGGUGCGUCACCGCAUCCUUGAAUUUUUAAUGUCUCAAAAAGAUGCGUAACCACAUUCUUGAUUGAAAUAAAUAUUUAUUAAUAUGUCGAAAAAUAAUUUAUUUUAUUUUAUUUAUUUAUUUAUUUAUUUAUUGGUCUAGAUAUACCUACUUUAUCAUUAUUAUUUAAAUCAAGAAAAGCUGUAGCUAUAGUGAAAUCAACGUAGUACAAAAUUGAAAAUUGGAUUUCAUUAAGUAAAAAGAUAGAAGGGUUUAACAACAACACAAACUAAUUAAAUUUUAGCUUACAACCUUGAAAUAAUAAUAAUAAUAAUAAUAAUAAUAAUAAUAAUAAAACAAUACUACGACAAGAAUCAUCAACCACAUACAUAAUAAGAGAGAAUAGACAAACAAAAAUUUCAAUACAACCCUGAAAUAACUAUAGAUAAUAGAAAUUUGGAUAUUCAUUAAACUAUAUAUAGUGAAUAUCCUGAUACUAUAUUGCCUAAUUCUCGUUUCUAGGUACAUCAUCUAUAACAAACACGCCUAUUGAAACCCUUCAUGGAGGCGUAUAUUGGUGCUCAAUCCUUUUAUAACGAGGCGUAUAUAAGUGCUCAAUCCUUUGGUUUUGUGAUCCGCCAUGAGAUAUAGAGCAAGUCUUUUUCUAUUAAACUUAUUUCUUUUAUUGUAUUUUUUUGGGGGCCGGGGGGUGGGGGGGGGGGGAGGUGGACUUGAUAUACUCCUUAACUUUGUGAUUUAGAGUUGAUAUAUCCUCGUUAAAAAAGUGGGUUACAUGUACUCAUAUUAUUAUAUAAAUAAUGUCUUCAAAUAUACCAUUUUGUUCUAACGGGAGUGAAAACAAAUAGUUUUUUAAAUGCAUUUUUUUAUUUAUUUUUAAGAAGUAAAAUUUGAAUAUAUAAUCUUAGAACUUUUCUAGAAAAUAUACUCGUAUAUUGAUAUUUUAGUGUGUUUUUAAAAAAAAAAUUAAAACAAUAUUUCACUUCCAUUAGAUGAAAAGGUUAUAUGUGAACCACUUUUAUAAUGGUAAGACUAUAUAUGAACCACUUUGAAUUUAAAUGUGCAUUAUUUUAUAAUGAGCGACAUAUAAAUUCUAAUAAAUUAUAAAGUAGAAGAGUAUAUCAAGACCUUUUAUGGACUUUGGUAUUUAGAGAUUUUGUUAAUUAAAGUAGAGGAGUCGUAUAUAUAGGUGAAUAUUGAUAUGCUGCAACAUGUGUUAUUUAUUUUAAUGUGUGUAUUAUUGAGUAGUUAAACGUGUUGGGAGCCGUGCGUGCAUAUAUGCAUUUCAUGACAUAUAUAAUAAUAAUAGAGUGAAAAGAAGAAGAAGGCAGAAAUGAAUUGAAAAUAAAGGAAGUAGUUAAAAUAUUAUCCAAUCUCACCAUUUAUUUAUUAUAAAAUAUUAGAUACGAUACAUAAUUAAUUAAGAGAUGGAUGAGGUUAUAUAUAUAUAUAUACACACUCACUUCAUUUAUUUAGGUGUGUGUGAGUAUAUCAAGACUUUUUACGGACUUACAUAUUUAGAUAUUUUAGAGAUUCUGUUAAUUAAAGUAGAAGAGUAGGUGAAUAUUGGUAUGUUGAAAACAUGUGUUAUUUAUACUCAUGAAUAGAAUAAUUAAGUAGUAUAUAAUUGUUGUUGUUCAUCUUGUAUUCCAAACAUACUUAGAACAAAACUUUGAACAUCUUUGUAAGAAAACAAAGUUUAAGAACAUUUUCACAACUAGAAAAUUAAAACUAGUAGCGAAACUAGAAUCAGAAACAGAUUUUUUUAAAAAAAUAUACGAAAUAUUUUUCUUAAAGAGGAAUUGUUGUUAAUAUGUGUCUAAAUAAUCUUACUGAUUCCAACAAACUUUGCAGAAACACGAAGUUACCAAGUUUAAUGAACCAGUGAAGAACAGAAGAAUAGAAGAACUGAAAUUAAUUGACAAAUCUAAAAUUUGUAAAAGACGUACCAGAAUCUGAAAAUUUUUAAUAGGAAAAAGAUCAAGUCCACUGAAUUCACAGUGUCCCCUUAAGGAAAUUAUUAGUUAAACGUGUUGGGAGCCGUGCAUGCAUAUAUAUAUACAUUUCAUGACAUAUAUAAUAAUAAUAAUAAUAUUAUUAUUCAAUCUCACCAUUUAUUUAAUAUAAUAUUACAUGAUAAUUAAGAGGGCACUUCAUUUAUUUAGGUGUGUGUGAGUGAUGAUGGAGUAGUCCUAGGUAAUAGUGACGGUUGCUAGAGAUGUAAGUAUCCCAAAAAUUGCUGCCAAAGUUUGACCAACCACAUUCUCAAGUAAGUUUCCAAUAAGGAUAACAGGAGCUACAAGGGUUCCUGUGGUUGGAGUCAAAGUGCAAUUAGCAAUUGGGAGAGGAAUCCUUGCAAUACAUGUUCCUGACAAAAGACUUGUAUUGGUGGACACUGCAGCAUUAAUAAUGCCUUGACUAUUUGUGGACACUUGAGCAAUCGUUGUGUUGCCACAAAUAAUCGUUACAUUUGCUCCACUCACUCCGACGCCUGGGGCAUUACUUCCCGGUACGGAGCAAGACAAACUCCCCAAUAUACUUAAAUUAACAACACGAUCAACAACAGGUGGUACAAUCGGUGGUACUUGACCACCAACAGGUGGUACAAUCGGUGGUACUUGACCAACAACAGGUGGUACAAUCGGUUGGCCAAGAAUAGGACUAAGAAUGGGACCGACAAUUGGACUGAGAAUAGAACCAACAAUCGGUAAUUGGCCAAGACCAACAGGUGGUACUUGACCAACGGGUGGUACAAUACGUGGUGCAGGUUGCCCCAAAAUGGGACCCAAAAUGGGACGAACAAUGAGACCCAAACCUUGAGCAUGAGCUAGAGGACUGAUGGUGAUGAUGGAAAGUAGAACAACAAGGGAAACAACACACAUUUUUGAAGACAUGAUGAUUUGAUAAUAUUUUUUUCUGUUCAAUAUCCCCUUUUUAUAGUGCUCCUUUUUAUUUACUCCACCCCUACCUUAACUUACCCAACCCCCUAAUUUAUAUAAAUGAUUAAAUAUAUUAUCUUUCAUCCCUAAAUAGCAUUAUUAAAGACUUACAAUAUCUCCCUAUAUCAUCAUUAGUUAGGCUGAAACUCAUCAACUUGAACAACAUUGGGACCAUACAAAUUAAUUAAUUCAAUAUCAUUUUGACUUGUCAUAAGAAGAAAUUUUUUUGUAAGCUGAGGCCAAAAGUAGGGUGGGCAUUCGGUAUUUCGAUUCGGUUUCAGUUUUUUUUCCGAUUUUUUGAUUAUUGUAAAUUGUGUACCGAAUACCGAAUCAAAAUAUUUUGGUUCAGUUUGGUUUUUGUUAAUUCGAUUCGGUUUUUUAUUUCGGUUUUUUAUGUUGAUGGCGCGGCUGCUAGCUGCUGACUGGUUGAAUGUUGAUGGUGCCUGGCAGACGGCGUGGCGGCGCUGCUGCUAGUUGCUUGACAGCGCGGCGGCGCUGCUGCUGUCUGCUUGACGGUGCGGCGGCGCUACUGCUUCUUUUGGCGGCCGGCCGGCGCAGCUGCUACUUCUCGCGGCUGCUGCUGCUUCUUCUGGCGGAUGGCCGGCGCUGCUGCUUCUUCUGGCGGACGGCCGGCGCUUAUGCUGAAUCUGGCUGGAGGAGAAGAAGAAGAAGAAGAGGAAGAAGAGGAGAGGAAGAGGAAAGACCAAGAGGAAAACAAAUCAGUAGAAAGAUGAAAGAGAGAGGAAUAGGGCCCGUAGGGUUUCUUUUUAAAAAAAUUAUUUAAUAUUAAUAAUUAUUAAUUAAUAUAAUAUAAAUUAUAGUAUAUUAUUUCGGUUUAAAUCGAAAUAUCAAAAACUAAAAUAAUACAUACCGAAAAUCGAACCGAAAUACCAAAAAAUAUAAAAAAGUAAAUCGAAAACCGAACUGAAAACCGAAAUAUCGAAACCGAAAUUUUGAAAAAUUUCAAUUUCGUUUGGUGUUUCGGUUUUCCGAUGUUUGCUCACACCUAGCCAAAAGGCCUUUAAUUUGCUCAUAGGAACUAUUUUGAUGGAAUAAAUAACUCCACUUGGUUUGGGUGUCAAAAAAAACAACAAUAAAAAUAACAACAACCAUCGAAGAUUUUUGAAAAUAGUUGUGUGAUUGUUAAUCACUUCAUUUAAAAAAAAAUUAAUGUUAUAUCAUGUUUUUAAUUAUAAUAAACUACACUAUAUAAUAAUAAUAAUAAUAAUAAUAAUAAUAAUAAUAAUAAUAAUAAUCAAGGGCAAAAAGCUAAUCUACUUGGUCAACAUAAAAUGACUUUUAAGUUGAAAAAAAAACACCCCUCACCUAUCUUUUAGAUUUUGGCAUAAAAUAAGUCAUUUUGGACUUAAAAUAAGUCACUUUGAUAAUUGUCAAACACUCAAAUAAAUCAAAAACUGAAUUUUAAAUCAGUUUGACCAGCUUUUAAGCCCAUUCCAAUAGGCUCUAAGUGUGUAAAUAACUUUUCGAUACAAGUUCAAGGUGAAAUUUAUGUCUUUUCCCUUUGAAAUACCUAUCACAAUACUUUAUUUCUCACGCCAUGUAUUCAUGAUAUAAUAAAAAUAUAUAUAUUAAAUAUUGAAUAAGAAAUUUAUGGGUGCCUCGACUAUGUUAAAAAAAGACAUAUGUCUUAGGUCCCCCAAAUUUAAGGGGCCUCAUUUUUAAUAAUAAUAGGUUAUAAGUUAUUAUUUUUUUAACAAAUAUUGAAUACUAUUUAUAGAAAAAGUAAAAUUUUUCAUGAAAAAUAAAGGAAUUAUAGAAGAAAUUUGACAUGUUUGAAGUAAUAUAUCUCAAGAAAAAUAAUUUAAAAUAAGAAUGAUUAUAUUAUCAAUUGAAAACUAGAAGAAAUCAAUUAUAUGAAGUUAUUGACGAUUCAAGUCUAAUGAUCUAUUUAAUUUUUGAUUUAAGCCACUAAUAUACUUAAGUCACUUCUAAAGAAAUUUUGAUAUUUUUUCAAAGAAAGAUGUAACAUAAAAGUUAUAAUAAAAUAUGUCUUUUACUUUAUCAGAAAAUAUCAAGAGAACGUGGGAUGAAUGCAUGAGUUAAUUUGACAAAGUUUUAUCAUUCAUUACAAUAUUAUUAAAAUUAAUAAUCUAUCUUAUUUAAUGGCUCAAUAAGUGAAUGAAAAGACAUGUUAAAACUAAUGUAAUUAAGUAUUUUACUUUUACAAAUUAUGACUUAUUAAAACUAAUGUAAUUAAGUAUUUUACUUUUACAAAUUAUCAAAAAUUUCAAAGGACUAAAUCGUUAUGUCAGAAGUGAUUUUAUUUUCACGGUGUUAAGUGAAAUCGCUAAAUCACUGACCUACCAGCGAUUUUGUUCAUAUUUUUUUCCUAUUUUUUUUAAAGGCAACGAUUUUAGUGGAUUUUUUUCCUUACAUCUCGUAAUUUGAAAUAACUAAGAAAUCAAGAAUAAACAAAAUCGCUUCUGAUAUAGCGAUUUAGUGCUUUUAGUUUUAAAAAACUUAAUGUACCCUUUUGAAAUUUUUAAUGUUUUUUUUAACUCAAAGAAAAUUUUUGUAUGGGUAGUGUUUUUGGAUUUUUUUUUAGAAAAAUAAAAUUGCUUUACUGUCGCAUUUUUAUUUUAAUUGUUUUUAAUAUCGCUGCCUAAAAAGCGAUUUAAGUGGGAAAUUAUUAUACUUUUUGGCAAAUGGUAGCGAUUUGUGUGGAAUAUUUUUUAUUUCUUUCUUUUUAAAAAUCUUGGCAACUCUUUAGUUAAAUAACUUUUAUUAAGAUAUUGCUGGCAAUUAUUUUUUAAAAAUUCGUUUUAAAUGUUGGUAAUCAAUUUUAAAAAAUAAUUAUACAAUUUUUUUAAAAAAAAAAUUGGCACUGAUAUUUUUUUUUAAAAAAGAACUUCCACCAAGCAGCGAUUUUUUAUAUAAAAAUCACGAAAAUAGCUGUCAAGAAUUUUUUUUCCAUUAAAACGCUGUUUUUUUUAAUAUAUAAAUGUUGCAUUGCAGUGAUUUAAAAAAAGAGAAAAUUGUAUAUAAUAUAGUAAACUAAUAAUAUAAAAUAAAAUGAAGCAGCUAGGAUUUGAUUUAAUUGUGCUCCAUAGCAAAUGUUUGCAAAAAAUUGCCAGACACCUCUCUCCCAAAUAUCUCGCUCGCCACUCUCCUCCAAUCUCUCGCUCUCUUCCUCACUUUUUAUACAAACACAAGUGUAUAAAAAUUGUUUCUAAUUGUAUAAAGCAGAAAAAAUUGUAUAAAUACAUAUAUUUUUGUUUCCUUCUCUCCUCUCUUCUAGAUCUCGCUCGCCACUCUCCCAAAUCUCGCUCGCCACCCUCGCCUUUCUCACUUAUAUAAACAGAAACGAAAUGUAUAAAUUGCGUUUCUGUUUGGAUAAAGCGUGAGAAAAUUGUAUAUACACAUGCAAGUACAUAUAUUUUCGUCCUAUACACCCAGUUUCUUUUGCCUUUCUCUCUUUCUCAUUUUAUACAAUUUUCAAAUUGUAUCUAAUUUCUUUCUUCCUCGUUUUAAGUAAAGUUAUCAUUACAUAAAUCAAAUGGAGUGAGCUCAAACUUUAGUUAAUUUUUUUUAAAAAAAAUAUUUUGUUGUUUAACAAUUUUUAAAAUGAAAAUGCUAAACCUUUUUCACAAUUAUGUUUUAUAGUUUUUUUAUCAAUAUCUAGUCGAUGAUAACCAUAAUUUUAAUAUAAAUAAUAUAAUAAGGUAACUUAAUUCUGAAAUUCAAGUAUUGAUAUUUUUGAGAAAAUAUUUAUUUAGAAAUUGUAAAACAUUCAUAAUCUAAUAUUUAAUAUGUUUCUUACUCUCAACGAAUGACACUAAUUCAUCAUGAUUCAAAAUUGUAAGAAGUAAAAAUCAAUACUAAAAAGUGCAACUCAUUAUUAUAUGAAGUUUAAUAUGUAGUUUAUCUAUUGUCGAAAGUUUUCCAAGUAUAUGAUAUAUAAUUCUAUGAUAAAUUAAUUUUUGAUCCCAUAUAUUUAUACUAUUUUCAAAUUUAUACCGUUAAUUGAUUAUAUAUUUUCUUAAACUACAAUUACGCGAUCAUUAUUUAUCAAUUCUACUUUAUCAACUUUAUAUUCUUCUUUUUUAUAUCUUUAGAAUUGUGCUAUUUUUGUUUUCUUAUUUAAGUUACAAUUUUAAAGAUAAAAUAAAUAUUUUUUGGAGAUAAAAUAAGUUAAAUAAAAAACUAUAUGAAUACUUAUGUUGAAAAAAAUUAUAUAUAAUUAAAAAAUUGUCCUAUUUUUAUUUUCUUAUUUAAGUCACAAUUUUUAAAGAUAAGAUAAAUAUUAUUUUGAGAUAAAAUAAGUUAAAUAAACUAUAUGAAUACUUUUGUUUAGAAAACAUUAUAUAUAAUUAAAAAAAUUACAUAUAUGAAAGAUUAUAAAAUUAUACUGGUUAUGUUGUAGUAGUAAUAAACAUAGAUGAACAAUUUGAAUUGUCAAGAGUAUAAAAAUAAAAAUAUUUUUCACAUUAUUAUUAUAUCAAACAAAUACAAAUUGAUUUUCAAAAAGAAUAAUAAAAUGUAUUUGUGGGUCACACAUGAAACAAAAAUUAUGUGAUUCUUGAAAAAAAAUAAUAGAUUCUUCUAGAAAACUAUUUUGACAAUUAAUUAUACAAUUAUAAAUUUAAAACUUUGCCCAUAAAAAUAAUUAAAAUUACAAAAUUGUCAUUGAUUGGCCUCAUCAUGACUCUUAUGUAUAAUAGAAACUAGACAAUUGAAGGCCCGUUCAUGGGCUCAAUAUAAUUAAUUAUUUUUUUCAAUUUUAAGUUAAAAAAAUUAUCCAAAUUAAUAUCUUAUUUUAUCAUAGUUUCUAAAAUUUUCUACUAUUUAAACAAUUACAAAAAUGUCCUCUCAGAUACAUUCUUAUCCUCUGUCGGACACAUCAGUAUCUCCUCUCGAAUACAUUCCUAUCAUUUCUUGAAUACAUCUUUAUCUCAUCCUGAAACAUCCAUAUCCUCUCUUGGAUACAUCUCUCCCCUUUCGGAUACAUUCAUUCUCUCUCGAAUACAUCCCUACCUUCUCGGAAUCAUCGUGAGCUCUAUGUCUGCAAGUUUCCUCAAUAGCAAUGUAUCACGAUCGAUGUAUCCGCAUGUGUUGAUUUAUCUGAAAUUAUUUAAUUUUAAAAAGAUUUCGUAAUUUGAAAAAAGUAGGAAUAUAAUGUAAUUAACUCUUUACUCUAUGACAUAUUUUUCUUUGUAGUCAGUUUCAAAAGAAUGAUGUAUAACAUAUUUAAAUAACAUUUUGACUUUAAAAUAUUCAUUCUAUUCUUAGUAAUAUUAUUUAUAGUCAUAUGAACAUCUAUGGUUUGUUUUAGACCAUGAGUUUUAAAAGUGUUUUUUCUUUUAAAAAAUUUUCGUGUUAAGUUAAAUUAAAAUUUCAUAAACCGAAAGGGAGUGAGUACAAACUUUAGAUCAAUUUUAUAUUUAUAAAAUUAAAGUUUUUGUAACUAUUUUGUCUUUUAACAAAAUUUAAAAUGAAAUAAUUCACAAUUAUUUUUAUAGUAUUUUUUUAAAAUCAAUAUUCUAUCAAUAAUAAUAAAUUUUUUUAAUUUAAAUAAGAUAAUAAAGUAUUUUAAUUUUGAAAUUCAUGUAUUGAUAUCAAUUGAGAAAAUAUUUAAUUUUAAGUUGUAAAACAUUCAUAAUCUAAUAUUUAAUGUGCUCCUUACUCUCGAUGAAUGACACUAAUUUAUAAUAAUUCAAGAUUGCAAGAAGUAGAAAUCGAGACUAAAACGUGCAACUCACUAUUAUAUGAAGGUCACUAUGUAAUUUAUCUAUUGUGGAAGUCUCAUUAGUAUAUGAUAGAUAAUUCUAUGCCAAAUUAAUUUUUGUUUUCAUAUAUUUAUACAAUUUCAAAAUUUAUCCCGUUAAUUGGUUAUGUAUUUUAUUAAACUACAACUGCACUCAUUAUUUUAUCUUUUUUUUUAUUCUUACAUUAUCAACUCUAUUUUUUUAUCUCUUUAGAAUUGUGAUACUUUUGUUUUCUUAUUUAAAUCACAAUGUUUUAAAGAUAAAACAAAUUUUAUUUUGGAGAUUAAAUAAAUAUUAUUUUGAAGAUAAAAUAAAAAAAAGAUUUACUAACCUACAACCAGGAAGAUCCACUUUGAAACCCAGCGACGAAGAAAACUUUGAAACUCUUAGCCGCGAAAUGAGGGUGAAAGAGUAAAAUCAUUUCUGGAAAAUAAUGAAACGAGGGGAAAAAAGCGUAAUAAAGAUUUAAGGAAUUAGUCUAUGUGGUAGUGGACCCUAUUGACAUGCAAUAUGGAAUUCACAUAGCAUUUAACAACUUCUCUUAAUUAGAAGGGCAAUUUUGACCCAAUAGUUUCACGGAAAGGGUACUUUUGAGCCGAAAUAUACUUUAAGGGUAAAUAUGAGUUAUUUCAGAUAGUUUAAGAGUAUUUUUUACCCUUUUACUUUUAGUCUACGUGGUAGUGGAACCCUAUUGACGUGCAAUGUGAUGGCAUUUAACAACUUCCAUUAAUAAGAAUUGCACUUUUGACACAAUAGUUUGACGGGGAGGAGAGUUUUGAGCGGAAAUAUAAUUUAAGGUAAAUAUGAAAUAUUUCAGAUAGUUUAAGGAUAUCUUUGACCCUUUUAUGUUAAAACUAUAUGAAUACUUAUGUCUAAAAAACAUUGUAUAAAAUUAAAAGGAAAUUAAAUCAUGGAAGAUGGUAGGCUAUACUGAAUAUGUUGUAGUAACAACAAACAUAUAUAAACUAUUAAGUUGUAUAAAUAUUUUUUAUUUAUUAUAAUCAAACAAAUAAAAGUUAAUCUUUAAAAAUUAAAUAAAAUGAUUACAUGGAGUCCCAUGAAACAAAACUUUUUGUGACUCUUGAAAAAGAUUAUUGGAUACUUCUAGAAAAUUAUUUUGACCACUGAUUAUGCAAUUAUAAAGUUGUAAUUUUGCCCAUAAAUAAUGUUUAAAAUUACAAUAUUGUCAUUGGUCAUCCUAAUCAUGACUCUUCUAUAUAAUAGAAAUAAUAAUAACUAGAUAUCAGGUGCCCGUGCUAACGCAAACGCAACGUAUGUUAGAUUUUUCUUCUUCCAAUUUAUGUGACAAAAAUGAAAUUUGAAAAAAAUGAACUAAAUUUUUUAUAUGUGUUUUUUUUAAAAAAUAUUUUAAAUUAUUAAUUUAUGUAUCUUUUUUGUCAUUUUCGAAUAAUAUAUGUUACUUUAUCUAUUUUAUUUUAUAUGAUACAAGUGAUUUUAGGAAAGUAAACGAAAUUUCUUAUAUGAUUUUCAUAUAUUUUUAGUUGUCAUUUUACUGCGAUUCAUAGUACUUUUUAGUUAUUACGUUAUUUUCAAACAAUAUAUGCAACUUUUUUUUUGUUUCAAUAAAAAUAAGGGAGUCAACAAAAUUUCAUUAUGUUUUUUCAACUACAUUUUUCUAAAAAUAUUUUAAAUUGUUACAUUGCUUUUUAAAGUUUUUUUAAAUGUAACUUUCAAAUAUGUAACAAAUUAGAAAUUAAAACGAAGAAUUAAAGUUUUCAAAUCAUUAUAUUUCUAUAUUAGAAUAUUAAAACCUUUAAAACUACAUAUAUAUGCAUAAAUUAGUAGAAGGAAGCCUAACAACUUAUUUUUAAAAAAAUAUAUGAGAGCUCAUUUUAAUAGUAAUACAUACAUAUUUCAUUUUUCAAUAUCCGAAUCCCUCCUUUUCGAUUUAUAUAAAUUUAAUUUAAUUUAAUUUUUAUUUUGUUUCAAAAAGAAAAUAACUUCUGAAUUUUAUUUGUUUAUAAAGCAUAUUUAAGAUCACAAAAUCAAAAAAAAAUAUUUCAAUUCACAAAAUUUAAAUAUACAUAUAAAUUUUAAUUUUAAUUUUGAUUGGUUCCACCUAAUAUUAUACUUGAUAUAUAAUUAUUAAGAGCUAAGCGUAAUCAUUAUCUAUUUACUUUCGUAUAAUAAAUAGAUAUCACAAUAACUCUUAAAAAAUGAAGAAAUAACGAAAAUGAGAUAAUACUAAUAAUAAUCACUAAAGAUUUUCUAGAACUAGUUAAAUUUCUUGUUAUCAAUCGUGUUAGUUUUUUGCUUGCAUAAAUUACAUUUUUACCUUCGAUCAUCAUUCACUUCAUAUAUAGAAAGAUGUUUCUAGAAUUAUUUAUUCUUGAUAAAUUAUUGUUAGAAUGAAAUUACAUUUUAUUCUUAGUCGUCUUUAAUACAAAGUAUCAUCCUAUUCAUUUUUUAUUUGUCAAGUUACUUUUUAAGAUCUUUUUCUUUAAUUUCAGUCUAAUAUAUAUUAUUAAUUUAUCACACUUAUUUAUUUUCAAGUAUAUUAUUAGAGUCAAAAUAAAGAUGAAAAUAAUUAAUUCAUGAUAACUUUUUAUAUAAAAAGUAGGCAUAUAUUAUAAGCAUAAUGAAUAGAAAAAAAUAUUAAGAAUUAAUUUAAAGUAAUAGUAAAGUAGAGUAAUUAUAAAAUAGAUAUCACAAUAACUCACAAAAGAAAAGAAAGUGAAGUGAUAACAAAAUAAGUUAAUGGUAAUAAUAAUAACUUAAAAUAUUUCUAGAACUAUUAUUUUUAUUUUUUUUUGUUAUCAUUCUUCAUAGAUUUUUGUUAGCAUGAAAUUAUAUUUUUGCUGUAACGACCUGUUUAGUCGUUUGGAGCAGCAGAGUUAAUUUCUGAAAAUCACUGUCUGGGUCGACGGAUCCCACGACAGACCGUCAUGGGCACGACGGACCGUCGAGGGUGUCUCGUGCCAAAACACUUAGAAUUUAGAAAUUUGGGUACUGAGAUCGACUCUCUGAACUUCACGACGAAAUGGCAGGACGGACCGUUGAGGGCUCGACGGACCGUCACAAAUCCUUCCGCAGAAUUAACUCUCUGAACCUUGUGACGGACGUGCAGGACGGACCGUCACAGUUGUGACGGACCGUCACAGGCUGCGUGACCCUGACUGGGUCGGAUUUCUGUUAAAUAUUUUAAGGGGCGUUUUGGACUAUUCCUACUUAUAAUUAUAAAGUUAGUGGUUUAAUGUUAAUAAUUUAAUUACUUGGGGGUUAAAAGAGAGAACCUUGAAACAAAUAGUGGGAUAUUUUAUCAUCUUUUAUACUUAAUUAUAUGCUAAUUAGGGUAAAAGAAAGAGGGUUUGAAUAAGAAAAAGAAAAAGAACAGAGAGAGAGGGAGAAACGAUCGAUUGAGAGAGAAGAAGAACGCAGCUUUGGGAAAGUAGAUUGCUUGAUCACAAUCCUUCGGUGGAGGUAGGUUAUGGUUUAUGCUAUUCGUAGUAAACUCUUAAUAGCGAAUGAUAUGUAUUGGGUAGUGUUGUAAACCCUUCUAUAUGCUUAAUUGUAUGCUUGCAUGAAUGUGAUUAUAUAAUUGUGAUAAAAUAAGCAUGAUGAAGCUAUUGAAUCCUAAAUCUUGAAAAUCCUAAUCUACUUUGUUAAUGAUGAUGCCUUGGUAUAAAAGAAGGCUUGAUGAACGAAAGUAGUAAGAUUAGGGGAUCGGAGUGUCACGUUCCGACACCAGGAUAGUAUAUGGAUCGGGUGCCACGUUCCGGUACCAGGAUAGUAUAUGAGGAUCGGAGUGUCACGUUCCGACACCAGGAUAGUAUAUGGAUCGGGUGCCACGUUCCGGUACCAGGAUAGUAUAUGAGGAUCGGAGUGCCACGUUCCGGUACAAGGAUAGUAUAUGAGGAUCGGAGUGUCACGUUCCGACACCAGGAUAGUAUAUGGAUCGGGUGCCACGUUCCGGUACCAGGAUAGUAUGAUGAGGAUCGGAGUGUCACGUUCGGACACCAGGAUAGUAUAUGGAUCGGGGUGUCACGUACCGACACGAGAGAAAUAAAGAUAAUGAAUCUUGAAAGAUGUUAAUAUACUCAAUUUAAUGAACCUAAUUCCCAAAUGAGUAUGAUGGGGAGGCGUGAGUCCUCAUUGAUGUGCUUGGUGUUGUGACCAAGAGUUAUGAUAAUUAUAAAUGCCGCAUGUUGAGUAUUGUAGUUGAUUUUAUGAUAUAUCUGAUAUAUACUAUUUUCUAUUUUGAGUUGGCCGAUGAUAUCUACUCAGUACUCGUGUUUUGUACUGACCCCUACUUGUAAUUGUUUUUCUUUGUUAUUUGUGGAGUGCAGCAAACGUACCGUCGUCUUCAACUCAACCGCAACUCUAGCCAGUCUUCAUUACACCGGAUUUCAGGGUGAGCUAACGCUUCUAGCUUGGACUGGAUCUUCUUCUUCAUGUCUUGAUGCCUUGAAGUUCCGGCAUGGACUAGCUUUUUAUUUAUUCUAGCUUUCUAAAUACUCUUAGAAUUAGUAAUUUGAGGAUAGAUGUUCUUGUGAUGAUGACUUCCAGAUUUUGGGAAUAAUAAGUAUUGAGUUUUUAGAAGUUAUUUAACCGAUUUUCAUUAAUGAGUUUAAGUCUUCCGCAUUAUAUUCUGUUUAUUAUGGUUCAAAUGUUGGGGUUUAGAUUGGUUGGUUCGCUCACAUAGGAGGGUAAGUGUGGGUGCCACUCGCGGCCCGCUUUGGGUCGUGACAUUUGCCCUUGAUUAUUAUUCACUUCAUAUAUAGAAAGAUGUUUCUAGUAUUAUCAAUUAUCUUGCUUAAUAGAUUUUUGUUAGCGUGAAAUUACAUUUUUGCCCUUAAUCGUCCUCCCACUUCACUCUUCUAUAUAAUUGAAUAGAAAUACAUUAUAUAAAAUAAAUAUUUAUAAAUGAUUAUAAGUUUUCUAUAUCCUUUUUAUAGUGAUUAAUUUACAAUAGGUAAAUGGAUAUGUAUGGGUAAUAAAAUAUAUAUGAGAAUAGUAAUUUAAUUGUGAUAUAUGGCAAAUUCAUCAAAUAGUCAGUCUCUAAUAAUUUAUAUAUUAGUAGUGAAGUAUAAUGUUAAAUUUUAAACGAGGAUUUACAUAACGUGAGAAAGACUUCUUUUCUUUUUUAUUUUCUCAAGAGAUUUUUACAUUUUAAAAUUAGUUUAUAACUUAACAUUAAAUUACUUUAUAUGUAUUUUACUUAUUCAAACUCUCACAUAAUUACUUGUACAUUUGUUUAUUUAUGGUCUUCAUAUAUAACCCCUAGUAUAGCCUUGCUAAACUAAAUUUUGAAAAUUAUUACUAGUAAGGUGUUUGUUUCCUCACCUCAUAUAUUUACAUCAUAUGCAUAAAAAUUAUGUAAAAUGAAUAACAUAUUUUUUUAUUUAUUUUUAAAGAGACUAGUUAUUUGGGGCCGCUAAAGCCUACUUCAAAAUUAGCAAAUCAAAAGAAAGGAAGUGUACCUAUCAACCAAGUAAAAAUGUCAACUACUUCUAAAAAGUUUGGACAAUUUUUAAGACUAUGAAAAUAUAGAGACAUAGUAAAAUAUUGCGUGAAUCACUUAAUAAAAUCGAAAACAUAAUAUAUUGGAGAUAGUUUUACUAAAAAUAAUUUUACAAUAAAAUUGAAAUGUGUACAUAUUUAUUGAAUUGUGGGUAUAGAGACAAUUUUUAAGCUUUUUUCUGAUUUACAUAUAUUAAAUCGCGAAAGAAGUCAUGUGUUCUUAAUAAAAUAAUCGCUAAUGGCAAUUAUAUUUGCUGCUAAAAUUCUUCCUCUAAAUAACUUAAUUUACACUUUUAGCGUUUAAGACGCAAUGUCCAUCUUAAACUAAUAAAUAUGAGAAAUAAAUAAACUCAAUUGGGGGAUAACAAUUUCUUAAUUAGUAUGUUAUAUAUACAUUAUUUCAAUUAUACUUUCGAGUUUUGAUAUUACGAAAAUAUAAUGUCAAACUUUAAAGACAAGAAUUUACAAAUGAGAACGACUUUUUUUUAAAAUAUAAUGUCAAACUUUAAAGACAAGAAUUUACAAACCAUGAGAACGACUUUUUUUUAUUAUACGUUUUAUUAUAUAUAUAUAUAUAUACAUACACACACACAUAUAUAUACAUAUAUCAUUGACUCUAUAUAUAUAAGAUAGGAAAGAGGUUAAAAUAUAUCAUUGAACUUUCAGAAAAAAACUCAUUUAUUCAUCAGUUAAAAGUUUGGCUCAUUUAUGCCAUUACCGUUUAAAAAAGAUUCAUUCUUGCCAUUAUUUUUUAAUAAUGGUUUCGCAAAACCAUUUUUAAUACGUGACCAAUUAUAAUCGGCUACGUCCUCAAUUUAUUUAAUUAAAAAAUCAUCAUUCUAAAAAAAAUUGAAUUCAUUUUUUUUGAUUUUUUUAUUAAAUAAAUUGAUGACAUGGCUAAUUAGAAUUCAGUGGGAUUUCUUAAAUUUGGGCGGGUCUUUAUUUGAGUGGGGUUUUUAUUUAAUGUUUUCUCAGAAUUGAUUUUUUAUCAAAAAAAAAUAAAAAAUGAUGUGGCCGAAUCAUAACUUGUCACGUGUGAAAAGUGGUUGGGCAAAAUCGCCGUUAAAAACUAAUGGCAUGAAUGAGUCUUUUCCUAAAUGGUAAUAACAUGAACGAGUCAAACUUUUAACGGAUGACAUAAAUGAGUCUUUUCUAAAAGUUCAACGGCAUAUUUGAGCUUUUUCCCUUAUUAAAAAAGUGGCUUACAUACACUCAUAUUAUUACAUAAAUAUUCUAAAAUAUACCAUUUUGUUCUAACGGGAGUGAAAACAAAUAUUUUUUUAAACAUAAUUUUUUAUUUUUAAGAAGUAAAAUCUGAAUAUAUUAUCUUCCACUUUCCUAGAAAAUAUUAUCCUACAAGAUUUUUUAUUUUUAAAAUUAAAAUUAAUAUUUUCACUUCCAUUAGAUGAUGAAGAUAUACCUGAAUCACUUUUAUAAUGGUAAGGAUAUGUAUGAACUCUUUUAAUUCAAAUGUGAAUUAUUUUAUAAUGAGCGAUAUAACAAUUUUAAAUUGCAAAGUUAUGAAGACCUUUUUAUUUAGGGAAAAGGGUCUGAUAUACCCCUCAACUUUGUCAUUUAGAGCUGAUAUGCCCCUUGUUGUGAAAGUGGCUCAUAUAUACCCUUACUUGUAAACAAAUGGCUCACAUAUACCCUUUUCCUCUAACGGAAAUGGAAAAAAAAAUAAUUUUAAUCUAAUUUUUUAAUAUUUUUUGUCUAAAAAUUAUAAUCCCAUAUGAGUAAAUUUAAUCCUCGUAAAACAUAUUUUUUUUAACCUUUUUUAGUUUCAAUGACUAAUUUAUAAUUAUUAUUUUGAUAAUCAAAUUUAUUUAUGUUUCACUAAUAUUCUUGUAAAACUUAUUGUAGAUAACCAAAUUUUUUCUUCGAAUAUGAAAUUAAAUUACAAUACACACAAAAAAUAGUUUAAAUUUUUUCUCUUUAAACUAAGGAUUGAAAGAAAAAACAUAAGAAUAAGAAACUCAAAUAAUUAUAAUAAAAAAAGUCAAAAAAUAAUUUAUAUAUGAAAAAAAUCAAAAUAUACCUUGAACUUUGAUAGAAGAAUCAUAUAUAUCCCUAAAUAAUUUUUUUAAAAAAUUACAAGUAAUAAAUAUCAAUUUAAAACUAAUUUUUUAACUUCCGUUAAAUGAAGGGUAUAUAUGAGCCAUUUUGUAACGGGAGGGGUAUAUGUGAGCCGUUUGUAUAACGGUAAGGGCAUAUAUGAGCCACUUUUAUAACGGGGGGUAUAUUAGCUCCAAAUAACAAAGUUGAGGAGUAUAUCAGACUCUUUUUCCUUUUAUUUAUUGUAUAAAAGCAUUUCAUAUACUAGUUACAUAUUUAAAUAUUGAAAAUGUUGAUAAGAGAUCCCAUUAAAUGCUAAAGUAUUGGUAUUUUAAAAAAAUUUCCUUUUAUUUAUUGUAUAUAUCUAACAUCUCGUAACUUCAAAUAACUAAGAAUAAACUAAGAAAUCAAGAAUAAUCAUUUUUGGAAAUAAAUAGGAAAUCUGAAAAAUUUCCCAAGUGUAAAAGUGAGUUUUUGGUCAAUUUCAAACGACCAUAACUCCCAGCUUAGGAGGAGUUAGUGUGAGUUCCUUAUAUGGUUGGAAAUCCCUUGGAAAGAAAUUUCCAACAACGCCAAGUUUGUACAUUUUAGAUGUCGUAUGAAGGAGAUAUGACUUUCGAAAGUUUGGUUGUUGGAGUGAGGAAAAUUCAAUCCGGAUUUAGUAAGGAUAAAGUAGUCUUUUCACCCUAGUAUUUUCUAAUUCGUUUUAAGGGUUUAUUAGGGGUAAAAUCAAGUCCAUAUUCAGUUUUGAAAAAGUUGAGAACGCUCAUGGCUUGGGAGAAAAGAGAAGAGAAAACCAAAAUUUCUUCAAGAACGCUAAGGUUUCGCUAGAGGAAUUCAUCGGGGGUGAUCUCUAUCGAGGUAUAUGAGAUCUUUCUAUGUUGGGUUCGUUCACCCACACACCAACAUGUUUAUUUAGCAAUUUUUGUAUUGAUUGAAUAAUGAAUCUUGAAGUUCUUGAUGAGCAAUUGUUGAAUCCUUAUUGGUAGAGUUGUAGUGUACCUUUAGUUGGUGUUGAUUCGUAUUUUCAGGCUGUUUUACGAGUCUAAACUAUUGGGUAUUGAGUAUAUUAGUGAUUGAUACGCUCAAACUUACUUUUUAAAUAAGAAGUAAAGCAGUAAAUGGGGGUUUCUAUUCCUAAAUAAAUGAAAAUAACUAGCGAAAUUAAAGGAGACAACUAACAACUUCGAAUGUUGGAGUUUAAUCACUUAAUCAAAGUAACUAGGGUUUACGUGUUCCCCACAGGUUCAUAACUUGAUAAUUCUAACUAUAACAAUUCUUUCCUAGUAUCUUGCAUGCAAAGUGAUAAGUUAUGUAUUUCUAAAUCCUUGGUCCGGCAUCUAGAAAAUUUCACUCGGCACCUUGGUCCGACUACGUGUGUUGCUAUACUAACCCUUAUAUUUACCUCAUAUUAAGCAUCGUAUUCGAUAUUUGACUAAGUUAUUACCCCGUACCAAUCAAUACUAGCCUAUUAGAUAGUAUACACUAAAUUUAUAUUGAUAAUUCUUUUCCUAUUAUCUUCCUCCUUGGUCCGACAAGUAGCAUUAAGGCGAGUUCUAACGUUGGCCAUCCGUUAAAAAGACUUCCAAGCGAAAGAAUUAUCAAUACAUGCAAGACACUAUUCUAGAAUUGUUAUUUUAGUUAGAUUUUACCUCAUUAUUCGCCUAUGGUUCCCACAACCCUAAUUAUGGAGUUUAGUUACCCAUAAUCAUAAUCACAAUAUUCAAAUAUAUGAUAUAAGAAUUCAUGCACUUACUUCAAUGAGAAAGAGUAAAAUCCAAAAGUUAGCUUGAUUAAUCAACAAUCAAUUACAAGAAUAUCAAAAUAAUCAAGAAUCUCACAAAAAGUCUAAAAAAUAAUCAAGAGUCUAACAAUAAUCAAGGGCCUAACCAAAUAAUCCAGAGUCUAACCUCAAAAACGAGGUUUUUCAAACUAUUUAUAAAAAAUAAAAACCUAAUUACAUAAGGACUCUAUUUGCUGGAAAUCUGUCAAAACGCGGCUGGGUCAACGGACCUCGCGACGCAUCGUCGUGGUCACGACGGACCGUCAUGGACACGACGGACCGUCAUGGACUCCGUCGUCCCAUACUUGAUGCAAUUUCUUAUGCUGCUCUCUUCAUUACUCUCGACAGCAGGUAUGAUGGAUCGUUACAGGCACAACGAUCCGUCGAGGGUCUCCGUUCCAAAACACUUGAACUCUUGGAAUAUGGGUACUGGGACUACUUCUCUGAACUUCAUGACGAACCUGCAGGACGGACCGUCAUGGAUACGACGGUCCGUCACGCAUUUUGUAACCCCACACUUGGUCAGACUUCCCCAUUUUCCUUCAGCAGCUGCACUACGUUGCCACCUACGGACCGUCACGAGCAUGACGGACCGUCACAAGCAUGACGGACCGUCACAAGCAUGACGGACCGUCACAAGCAUGACGGACCGUCACAAGCUCCGUAGGUGGUCUCUUCUGCAUUUCUUUGCUCAAAAACCUCCGCAUUCAUCUUUGGAUAGAUUUCCUGCAAAUAAGGAGAAACUUAUAUAAAAAUUAGCACAAAAAGAUUUUGGACACACUAACUUAAGGAAAAAAUAUUAAUAAUACCGUGACACCAUAGUAUAUCAGUGAUCCUAAGUGUUUGGGAAAAAUCCAUGAAUGUUUUGAAGGUUUAGAGUUGAAAAUCGGAGAAGAAAAGUCAGAAAACUCGUCUGACAGGUCUUGUGGCACCGUGCCUACAAGAGCCCCUCAGGACAGACUCUUUCUGUCAGGCUCUGGCGCGCCGCCGUGCCAGCUAGAGCGCCUGAAGACAGUGUCUGUCGGUCAGGCGCUGGUGCCCCGCGCCUCUCAGAGCGCCAGGGUCACCUGGAGAUUCUAUUUCUCUCCCAUCUUUUCGUACGAGUUCCUAAGUGACGUAUCUAUUAUUUCUAGUUAGUUCCAAUACUCUAAAGUAAAUAUAAACAUUAUGAAAUCAUCCAUAAUAAUGAGAUCAGGAUCCGUGAAUGCAUAAUCCAAUUCAAGGGAAGUUAAGAUCAAAGUCAAAAAAAGUUAAGAGUCAAGUCUAAAAGUUAAAAAACAAGUCAAAGUAAGUUCCUAAAGCAUUCAAGAGUCUUAAACAAACAUUUUAACUUUGUUUUAAGGUUCAAGCAAUGAGUUGAGCAAAGAGUAAAAGAGUUGAGUUAAAUUUUCAAAAGCUAUAAGGGAACUAAGUAUUCCCUAAGAGUUAAGUUUCAAGUUAAGCAAAUAGUAACAAGUUGAGUUCACUUCUCAAGAGUUAGAAGGGAACUAAGUAGUCUCUAACAGUUUAAACAAGAUGUUUUUAAACUUUUGAGAAAGAAAGGAAGCUAGACUUCCACAGAGCCUAUGACUAGUUUUAGUAAAAGAAAAAGGAAACUAUGAUUUCUAAGAAAGUUUUUGAAGCAAAGUUUGAGAAAUUAUCUCAAACUAGAGAAGAAGUUGUUUUAAAAAAACAUAUGAGCUAAGUAUUUUGGGAGUAGUAUUGAGCACCGAUAUGGUGACGCGAGUUCAUAUUAACUCAAGUCUCCAUAAACCAUUGAGCCAACAUGGAGAUAUAAAAGAUCAUACUUUUUAGAUGAUUCCUUAGUAAUUUUAGCAUAGACUAGUGAAUCCUCUUAGUAGUUCAGGUUCUAUAUCGACGACAAGGUAUAGAGUGGUCCUCUUGCAACAUGAGGUAAUACGUUGUACCAUCACUUAGGCUCAUAGAUGGUUGUCGGUUAGAUAAUCUCUCAAAGAAAUUAUAAUACUUUCAAAUAUAUGAGUAAAGUUGAGUUUAUUAUUGAUUUAUCUUUAAUGAACUAAGUGUUUACACUGUUUUACAAGCUUUUCUUAUAUCGCAUGUGUCCUUACUGCUUUAUAUUGAGUCGUUAUUAAUGAGUUGAGCAGAACCAAGGUAAGUUCUUCCUUACUCCUUUCAAGCCUUAUAGUAGUGUUUAGUAUUCCAAUUCGCAUACUCGUUUGGCCUGCAUGCAUCGUCUUAUAAUGCAGAAGCAGGUAAUUAGGAUCAACAUGCAGCACUUUGUUGAACCAGUUUGAGCUCUAGAGUCAGUGGUGAGCCUCCAUGCAUUUCGGAGGAUCCUUUUAUUGCUAUCUAGUUAGUUCAAUAGAAUGUUGUGGGGUUUGUCCCAACAUUCAUCUCAGUCAGUUUAGAGGUUUCAUAGACGGAUAGUAGUAGUUAAGUUGUGUCUCUUUAUUUCAGAUUCUAUAUUUGAGACUUAAGUGCAAAUUUGGCCAAGACAGUAUUUAAAGUCAUUUUUAUGAGAACUUCUUCAAUUCUAUAACUGAAUUAAGUUGAGUCUUCCGCUGAGUUAAGUAAGUCAGACCAAGAGUUCCCUUGAGGCCAGCAAUGGUCACCAAGUGCUAGUCCCACCCAGGGUAUAAGCUCGGAGCAUGCUAAUAUAUGCAUUUCAUAUACGACUUACGUAUUCAGAUACUUUUAACAUUUUGUUAGAGCAGAAGAGUCUUAACUUAUAUAUGUAGGUGAAGUAUUGAUAUAUUGGGAUAUUGGUACUUAUUAUUAUUUUACUUUAAUACUUAUUUAUAAGUCUACAACACACGGUAAGCACACACAAGGUGCUCAACAUGUGUGCUUGAAGUAAAUUUAAUUUUGAAUGAGGUUAAUUUGGUCAUUUUAUAUAAUACUCAAUGUUUCUUUUACUUGUACAAAAUGCAAAAUUGCUUUUAUGGACAUCAAAUGACCAAAAACCCAGUAUCCUUUAACUCAUUGUCAUAUGUUAUAGAACAUUGCAAUUGGUUGAAAAUGAACUUUAAUGUAGUUGCAAUAUAAUUAUUUUUACUUCUUGUCAAAACUGCCCCUAUGCGGCUUAAGCUUAUUUUAUCAACUAUUUGUUAUUACGUGGAGAAAUUAAAGACAUCUUUAGAUGAGUCCUUUUAAGCGGUACCGACCUAGAUAUAUAUAUUCUUUUCGUUUUAUUUAUGUCAUUUUUACUAAAAAUAGGUAAUAUUUAAUAUUUAUCAUUUCACAAAAGUAAUGCAUUAUAUAGUAAUGAAAUCGACUCUCUGAACUCUGUGACGGACCGUCACAGGUACGACGAACCGUCGUGAGCCCCGUUUCAAAACACUUCAACUCUUGAGAAUUUGGUACAGGGAACGAUUCUCUGAACGUCAUGACGGAGGUGCAGGACGGACCGUCGUAGGUACGAUGGGCGUCACAGACUCCUUAAGGAAAUCGAGUCUUUGACGAACCUGCAUGACGGACCGUCGCAGGCACGACGGGCCGUCGCAGGUUGCGCAAUCCCAGUCUAGGUCAGAUUUCUUUACACAUUUUAAGGGACGUUUUUGACUAUUCCUUCUUUAAUUAUAAAGUUAGUGGGUUAAUGUUAAUAAGUCUAAUUACUUGGGGGUUAAAGAGGUAACCUCAAGUUAAUUAGUGGGUUAUUAUUGCCAUCUUUCAUUCUUAAUUAUAUACUAAUUAGGGUAAAAGAAAGAGGGUUUGAAUAAAGAAAAUAGAAAGAACACAAAGAGAGAGAGGGAGAAUCGAACGAGAAGGUGAAAAGAAGAGGAGAAACACAAAGCUUUGGGAAAUUGCUUGCUUGAUUUCUUGUCUUCGGUGGAGGUAGGUUUUGGUUUUCAUGCUAUUCGUAGUAAACUCUUAAUAGCGAAUGAUAUGUGUUAGUAGUAUUGUAAACCCUUCUAUAUGCUUAAUUGUAUGCUUGCAUGAAUGAUGUGAUUAUGGAAUUAUGAAUAAAUAAGCAUGAUGAAGUUAUUGAAUCCCAAAUCUUGAAAAGAAACCUAAUCUACUUUGUUAAUGAUGAUGCCUUGGUAUAAAAGAAGGCUUGAUGAACGAAAGGGGUGAGAUUAGGGGAUCGAGUGCCACAUUCUGGUACCAGUAUAGAGAUAGAGGAUCGGGUGCCACGUUCCGGUACCAGGAUAGAAUGAGGAUCGAAGUGUCACGUUCCGACACCAGGAUAGUAUAUGGAUCGGGUGCCACGUUCCGGUACCAGGAUAGAAUGAGGAUCGGAGUGUCACGUUCCGACACCAGGAUAGUAUAUGGAUCGGGUGCCACGUUCCGGUACCAGGAUAGAAUGAGGAUCGGAGUGUCACGUUCCGACACCAGGAUAGUAUAUGGAUCGGAGUGUCACGUACCGACACGAGGGGAAUAAAUAUAAUGAAUCUUGUAAGAUGCUAAUAUACUCAAUUUAAUGAAACUAAUUCCCAAAUGAGUAUGAUAUUGAGGCUUGAGUCCUCACGUGUGAACUUGACGGUAUUUGUUAAUGAUAUAGUACUUGUUGUUGCUACAUGUUGAGUAUCAUAGUUGAUUUUAUGAUAUUGCUUAAUAUAUAUUGUUUUCUAAUUUCGAGUUGACCGAUGAUAUCUACUCAGUACCCGUGUUUUGUACUGACCCCUACUUUUGUGUUUUCUUCUUUGUUAUUUGUGGAGUGCAGCAAACAUGCCGUCGUCUUCGACUCAACAGUAUUCAAGCCAGUCUUUACUACACCGGAAAUUCAGGGUGAGCUAAUGCUUCUAGCUUGGACUGGAUCUUCUUCUUCAAGUCUUGAUGCCUUGAACUUCCGGCAUGGACUAGCUUCUUAUGUAUUUUUAGCUUCUUAGACAUUUUUAGUUAGUAAUUUGAUCAUAGAUGUUCUUGUGAUGAUGACUUCCAGAUUUUGGGGAAUAAUAGUUAUUGAAUUGGUUUUUAUUUAAUGAGCUUAAGUCUUCCGCAUUAUUUUCUAUUGAUAUACGUUGAAAUGAUAAGGUUUAGAUUGGUUGGUUCGCUCACAUAGGAGGGUAAAUGUGGGUGCCAGUCGCGGCUCGGUUUUGGGUCGUGACAAACCUUGUAUCAGAGCAUUAGGUUCGUUGGUCUCAUCACACAAGAACGAGUCUAGUAGAGUCUUAAGGAACGGUAGGGGGGCGCCUUUACUUUUCUUUGAGGGGCUAUAAGACUUUAGGAAAUUCCAUUCUUUCUUAUCUCUUUCGUGAUACUACUUGAAUCCAAUUGGUAUCUAGGUGAUUCAAAUUGGUAUCUGACCAUCUUCACUCUAUUUCGCAGAUGGUUAGAACUAGAUCAACGACUGCGCCAACACCAACACCGGCAAGACAAGAAACGUCUGAGCCAGCCACUGGGGCUGUGGCUCAAGGAAGAGCAAUAGCAAGAGGUCGUGGUAGAGUUCGUGGGAGGACGUCCUCUAGAGGGAGAGGACGAGUACCUAGCCCAUCUGAUGCUAGGGCGGUGACUCCUCCACCGACUGAGGAAGUAGUAAGAGAGGGUGAGGAAGGGGAGAAUGAACAAGUGCAAAAUGAUGAAUUGCCACCCCAACCUACCCCAGAGAUGAUCAAUCAGGUUCUCGCUUAUCUUAGUGGGUUAUCUGAUUAGGGCCAGACACCUCCAGUGUUUUCUGCACCAGUACCUCAGGUUCCGGAGGUACAACAUGCGGCUACUAUGGCUCCUCGUAUGGAUGCCUCAUUGGACAUAGGCACGUUUCCACGUCUGACUACUGGGCCUAUAAUGACAAAUGAUCAGCAUGAACUUUUCAGUAAGUUCUUGAAAUUGAAACCCCAGUCUUCAAGGGUGCUGAAUCUGAGAAUGCUUACGAUUUUCUGGUUGACUGUCAUGAGCUACUACACAAGAUGGGUAUAGUAGAACGGUUUGGUGUUGAGUUCGUGAGUUAUCAGUUUCAAGGGAACGCCAAAAUGUGGUGGCGGUCACAUGUUGAGUGUCAACCAACAGAGGCACCACCUAUGACUUGGGCCUCAUUCUCUAGCUUGUUUUGGAGAAGUGUGUCAACCAACAGAGGCACCACUAUGACUUGGGCCUCAUUCUCUAGCUUGUUUAUGGAGAAGUAUAUCCCCCAGACUUUGAGGGAUAGGAAAAGGGAUGAGUUCUUGAGCCUAGAUCAAGGUAGGAUGUCGGUUAAUGCAUAUGAGGCUAGGUUUCGCGCACUAUCCAGGUAUGCCACUCAACUUUGUUUCAGUCUACAAGAGCGGAUUCGCCGGUUUGUGAAGGGGUUGAGGUCAGAGUUGCGGAUUUCGGCCUUACAGGUAGCGGCUACGGCAAAAUCCUUCCUAGAAGUGGUAGACUUCGUGAUAGAGGUGGAAGGAGUGAAGCCCAAUGACUUCACCUCGACAUCGACAUCAAAAAGGUUUCGAAAGGGAGGUGAGUUUAAUGGUUCUUACCCUAGGGGAUAGGGUUUCGGAGGUUACUCAGUCCGACCGAUUCAGUCUUCACUACAGACUGUAGUUGGGGGUCCACCUCAGCCGGUCAAAACUUCCUGAGGAGACCUAUGCAUGAACCAAGAAAGUGCUAUGGAUGUGGGUUUCAAUUUUGGAGAUUAAAUAAAUAUUAAUUUUGAAGAUAAAUAAAAAAAAGAUUUACUAACCUACACCAGGCGAAGAUCCCACUUUGAAACCCGCGACGAAGAAAACUUUUGAAAACUCUUACCGCGAUGAGGGUGAAAGAGUAAAAUCAUUUUCUGGAAAAUAAUGAAAACGAGGGGAAAAGCGUAAUAAGAUUUAAGGCAAUUUAGUCUAUGUGGUAGUGCCCUAUUGACAGCAAUAUGGAAUUCAACAUAGCGAAUUUAACAACUUCUCUUAUUAGAAGGGCAUUUUGACACAAUAGUUUCACGGAAGGGUACUUUUUGAGCCGAAAUAUACUUUUAAGGGUAAAUAUGAGUUAUUUUCAGAUAUUUAAGAGUAUUUUUUACUCCUUUUACCUUUUAGUCUACGUGGUAGUGGACCCUAUUGACCGUGCAAUGUGAUGGCAUUUUACAAUUCAUUACAGAAUUGCACUUUUUGACACAAUAGUUUUGACGGGGAGGAGAGUUUUUUGAGCGGAAAUAUAAUUUAAAGGUAAAUAUGAAUAUUUCAGAUAGUUUAAGGAUUCUUUGAGACCCUUUUAUGUUUAAAACUAUAAUGAAUCUUAAUGUCAAAAAACAUUGUAUAAAAUUAAAGGAAAUUAAAAUUCAUGGACAGAUGGUAGGCUAUACUGAAUAUGUUGUAGUAAACAAACAUAUAUAAAACUAUUAAGUUGUAUAAUAUUUUUUAUUUAUUAUAAUCAAACAAAUAAAGUUAUCUUUAAAAUUAAAAUAAAAUGAUUACAUGGAGUCCCAUGAAACAAAAUUUUUGUGACUCUUGAAAAAGAUUACUGGAUACUUCUAGAAAAUAUUUUGACCACUGAUUAUGCAAUUAAUAAAGUUGUAAUUUUGCCCAUAAUAUGUUUAAAUUACAAUAUUGUCAUUGUCCAUCCUAAUCAUGGAAUCUUCUAUAUAAUAGAAAUAUAAUAACUAGAUUCAAGGGUGCCCGUGCUAACGCCAACGCAACGUAUGUUGAUUUUUCUCUUCCAAUUUUAUGUGACAAAAAUGAAUUUGAAAAAAUGAACUAAAUUUUUUAUAUGUGUUUUUUUUUAAAAAAUAUUUUAAAUUAUUAAUUUAUGUACUCUUUUUUGUUGUCAUUUUUGAAUAUAUCUGUUACUUUAUCUAUUUUAUUUUUUAUGAAAUACAGUGAUUUUAGGAAAGUAAACGAAAUUUCUUAUAUGAUUUUCAAUAUAUUUUUAGUUUGUCCAUUUUACUGCGAUUCAUAGUUACUUUUAGUUAUUCACGUUAUUUUCAAACAAUAUAUGCCAAGCUUUUUUUUUGUUUCAAUAAAAAUAAGGGAGUUUCAACAAAAUUUCAUUAUCGGGUUUUACUCAUUUUUUCUAAAAAUUAUUUUAUUGUUCAUUGCUUUUUAAAGUUUUUUUUAAUGUAACUUUCAAAUAUGUAACAAUUUAGAAAUUAAACGAAGAUUAAAGUUUUCAAUCAUUAUAUUUCUAUAAUUAAGAAAAUUAAAUCGCUUUUAAAACUACAUAUAUAUUGCAUAAAUUAGUAAGAAGGAAGCCAACAACUUAUUUUUUAAAAAAAUAUUGAGAGCUCAUUUUUAAAUAGUAAUACAUAAUAUUUCAUUUUUCAUCAUCGAAUCCCUGCUUUUCGGAUUUUAUAUAAAUUAUAAUUUAAUUUAAUUAUUUUUAUUUGUUCAAAAAGAAAAUAACUUCUGAAUUUUAUUUGUUUAUAAAGAUAUUUAAGAUCACAAAAUCAAAAAAAAAAUAUUUCAAUUCACAAAAUUUAAAAAUAUACAUAUAAAUUUUAAUUUUAAUAUUUGAUUGGGUUCACCUAAAUAUUAUACUUGAUAUAUAAUUAUUAAGAGCUAAGCGUAUCAUUAAUCUAUUUACUUUCGUAUAAUAAAUAGAUAUAGCAAUAACUCUUAAAAAAUGAGAAAUAAAAACGAAAUGAGAUAUACUAAUAAUAAUCACUAAAGAUUUUCUAGAACUAGUUUAAAUUUCUUGUUAUCAAUCGUGUUAGUUUUUUUGCUUGCAUAAAUUUCAUUUUUACUUCGAUCAUCAUUCACUUCAAUAUAUAGAAUAAUGUUUCUAGAAUUAUUUAUUCUUGAUAAAUUAAUUGUUAGAAUGAAUUACACAUUUUAUCUUAGUCGUCUUAUACAAAGUAUCACCUAUUUUUUUUAUUUGUCAAGUUACUUUUUAAGAUUUUUUAUUUAUUUCAGUCUACUAUAUAUUAUUAAUUUAUCACACUUUAUUUAUUUUCAAGUUAUUAUAGAGUCAAAAUAAAGAUUGGAAAAUAAUUAAUUCAUGAUACUUUUUAUAUAAAAAGUAGGCAUAUAUUAUAAGCAUAAUGAAUAGAAAAAAAUAUUAAGAAUUAAUUAUUAAGUAAUAGUAAAGUAGCAGUAAUUAUAAAUAGAUAUAACAAUCUCACAAAAGAAAAGAAGUGAAGUGAUAACAAAAUAAGUUAAUGGUAAUAAUAAUACUUAAAAUAUUCUAGAACUAUUAUUUUUUUUUUUUUUUGUUAUCAUUCUUCAUAGAUUUUUUUUGUUAGCCAUGUGAAUUAUAUUUUGCCUGUAACGACCUGUUUAGUCGUUUGGAGCAGCAGAGUUAAUUUCCUGAAAAUCACUCGUUGGGUCGAUCGGAUCCACGACGAAACCGUUUCAAAAAAUGGGCCCAAAAAAAAAACGAACCGGACGUCGAGGGUGUCUCGUGCCAAAACACUUAGAAUUUAGAAAUUUGGUACUGAGAUCGACCUCUGAACUUCACGACGAAAUGGAGGACGGAACCGUUGAGGGGCUCGACGGACGUCAAAAUCCUUACCGCAGAAUUAACUCUCUGAACCUUGUGCACGGAACGUGCGGACGGACCGUCAAGUUGUGACGGACCGUCACAGGCUGCGUGACCUGACUGGUCCGGAUUUUCUGUUAAUAUUUUAGGGCGCGAUUUUGGACUAUUCUACUUUUAUACACUUAUCAAGUUUAGUGGUUUAAUGGUUAAUAAUUUAAUUACUUGGGGUUUAAAGAGAGAACCUUGGAACAAAUAGUGGGAUAUUUUAUCAUCUUUUUAUACUUAAUUUAUAUGCUAAUUGGUAAAAGAAAGAGGGUUUGAAUAAAAAAGAAAAAAGAGCAGAGAGAGGGGAGAACGAUCGAUUGAGAGAGAAGAAGAACGCAGCUUUGGGAAAGUAGAUUGCUUGAUCACAAUCCUUCGGUGGAGGUAGGUUAAUGGUUUACUUGCUAUUCGUAGUAAACCUUAAUUAGCGAAUGAUAUGUUUUGGGUAUGUUGUAAACCCUUUAUAUGCUUAUUGUAUGCUUUGCAGAAGUGAUUAUUAUUGUGAUAAAUAAGCAUGAUGAAGCCUUUGAUCCUAAAUCUUGAAAAUCCUAAUCUACUUUGUUAAUGAUGAUGCUUUGGUAUAAAGAAGGCUUGAUGAACGAAAGUAGUAAAGAUUAGGGGAUCGGAGUGUCACGUUCCGACACCCAGGAUAGUAUAUGCGAUCGGGUUGCCAACGUUCCGGUACCAGGAUAGUAUAAUGAGGAUCGGAGUGUCACGUCGACACCAGGAUAGUAUAAGUGGAUCGGGUGCCACGUUCCGGUCCAGGAUAGUAAUAAUGAGGAUCGGAGUGCCACGUUCCGGUACAAGGAUAUUAUAUGAGGUCGGAUGUCACGUUCCCGACACCAGGAUAGUAUAGUGGAUUCGGGUGCCACGUUCCGGUACCAGGAUCAGUAUGGAUGAAGGAUCGGAGUGUCACGUUCGACACCAGGAAUAGUAUAUGGAUCGGGGUGCUCAGUACCAGACACGAGAGAAAUAAAGAAUAAUGAUCUUGAAAGAUGUUUAAUUAACUCAAUUUAAAUGAACGCUAAUUCCAAAUGAGUAUAGAGGGGAGGCAGUGAGUCCUCAUUGAUUGUGGCUUGGUGUUGUUGACCAAGAGUUAUGAUAAUUAUAAAUGCGCAUGUUGAGUAUUGUAGUUGAUUUUAGAUAUAUCUGAUAUAUAUCUGUUUUCUAUUUUUGAGUUGGCCGAUGAUAUCUACUCAGUCUCGUAGUUUUUGUACUGACGCCCUACUUGUAAUUGUUUUUGUCUUUGUUAUUUGUGGAGUGCAGCAAACGUACGUCGUCUUCAAUCAACGCAAACUCUAAGCCCGUCUUCAAUUACAACCGGAUUUCAGGGUGAGCUAACGUUCCUAGCUUGGACUGGAUCUUUUCUUCAUGUCUUGAUGCCUUGAAGUUCCGGAAUGGACUAGUUUUUUUAUUUAUUCUAUAGCUUUUCUAAAUACUCUUAGAAUUCAGUAAUUUGAGGAUAGACUUGUUCUUGUGAUGAUGACUUCCAGAUUUUGGGAAUAAUAAGUAUUAGAGUUUUUAGACGUUUAUUACAUUCAACAAGAUUAUAUACAUAUAUAAGAAGAUUUAGUCUUUCCGCAUUAUAAUUCUGUUUAUUAUGGUUCAAAUGUUGGGGUUUAGAUUGGUUGGUUUCGCUCACAUAGGGGGUAGUGUGGGUGCCACUCGGGUCCCGCUUUGGUCGUGACAUUUGCCCUUGAUCUAUUAUUCACUUUACAUAUAUAGAAGAUGUUUCUAGUAUUAUAUCAAUUAUCUUUGCUUAUAGAUUUUUGUUAGCGUGUGAAAUUAAUUUUGGACCUUAAUCGUCCUCCACUUCACUCUUCUAUAUAAUUGAAUAGAAAUAACAUUAUAUAAAAUAAAUAUUUAUAAAUGUUAUAAGUUUUCUAUAUCCUUUUUUUAUAGUGAUUAAUUAACAAAUAGGUAAAUCGGAUAUGUUCGGGUAAAAUAAAUAUAUAUGAGAAUGUAUUUAUUGUGAUAUAUGGCAAUUCAUCAAUAGUCAGUCUCUAAUAAUUUAUAUAUUAGUAGUGAAGUAUAUGUUAAAUUUUAAAACGAGGAUUUUACAUAAGUGGAGAAGACUUCUUUUCUUUUUUAUUUUCUCACGAGAUUUUACAUUUUAAAAUUAGUUUAUAACUUAACAUUAAAUUACUUUAUAUGUAUUUUACUUAUUCAAACUCUCACUAUCAAUAUUGUACAUUUGUUUAUUUUUGGUCUUCAUAUUAACCCUAGUAUAGCCUUGCUAAACUAAAUUUUGAAAAUUAUUAUAGUAAGGUGUUUGUUUCCUCACCUCAUAUAUUUACAUCAUAUGCAUAAAAAUUAUGUUAAAUGAAUCAACAAUAUUUUUUUUAUUUAUUUUUAAGAGAGCUAGUUAUUUGGGGCCGCUAAAGCCUACUUCAAAAUUAGGCAAAUCAAAAGAAGGAAGUGUACUAUCAACAAGUAAAAAUGUCAACCUACUCUAAAAAGUUUGGACAAUUUUUAAAGAUAACUGAAAUACUAGAGACAUUAGUAAAUAUUGCGUGAAUCACUUAAUAAAUCGAAAAACAUAAUAUUUUGGAGAUAGUUUUACUAAAAUAUUUUUAACAAUAAACUUGAAUGUUGUACAUAUUUAUUGAAUUGUGGGUAUAGAGACAAUUUUUAGCUUUUUUUCUGAUUUAACAAUAUAUUAAUCGCGAAAGAAGUCAUGUGUUCUUAAUAAAUAAUCGCUAAUGGCAAUUAUUUGCUGCUAAAAAUUCUUCCUCUAAUAAACUUAUUUACACUUUUAGCGUUUAAGACGCAAUGUCCAUCUUAAACUAAUAAUAUUUGGGAAAAAAAAAGGAGGAAAUAAAUUAAACUCAAUUGGGGGAUAACAAUUUUCUUUUAAUUAGUAUGUUAUAUAUACAUUAUUUCAAUUAUACUUUCGAGUUUUUGAUAUACGAAAAUAUAAUGUCAAACUUUAAGAGCAAGAAUUUACAAAAUGAGAACGACUUUUUUUUAAAAUAUAAUGUCCAAACUUUAAAUGACAAGAUUUACAAACCAUGAGACCGACCUUUUUUUUUAUUAUAACGUUUUUUUAUAUAUUAUAUAUAUACAUACACACACACAUCUAUAUCCAUAAUAUCAUUGACUCUUAUUAUAGAUAGGAAAGAGGUUUAAAAUAUAUCAUUGAAACUUUCGAAAAAAACUCAUGUUAUUCAUCAGUUUAAAAGUUUGGUCUCAUUUAUGCCAUUAACCUGUUUAAAAAGAUUCAUUUCUUGCCAUUAUUUUUUAUAAUGGUUUUCGCAAAACCAUUUUUAAUACGUGACCAAUUUAACUCGGCUACGUCCUCCCAUUUAUUUAAUUAAAAAUCAUCAUUCUAAAAAAAAUUGCAUUCAUUUUUUUUUUGAUUUUUUUAUUAAUAUUUGAUGAAUGGCAAUUGAAUUCAGUGGAUUUUCUUAAUUUGGGCGGGUCUUUUAUUUGAGUGGGGUUUUAUUUAUGUUUUUCUUCAGAAUUGAUAUCAAAAAAAAAUAAAAAAUGAUGUGGCCGAAUCAUAACUUUGUCACGUGGUGAAAAGGGUUGGGCCAAAUCGCGCCGUUAAAAACUAAUGGCAGAAAUGAGUCUUUUUCCUAAAUGGUAAUAACAUGAACGAGUUCAAACUUUUAACGGAUCACAUAAUGAAGAUCUUUUCUAAAAGUUCAACCGGCAUAUUUGAGCUUUUUCCCUUAUUUAAAAAAAGUGCUUACAUAACACUCAUUUAUUACAUAAAUAUUUCUAAAAUAUACCAUUUUUUCUAACGGGAGUGAAAAAAAUAUUUUUUUAAACAUAAUUUUUUCAUUUUUUUAAGAAAGUAAAAUCUUGAAUAUAUUAUCUUCCACUUUCUAGAAAUAUUUAUGCCUACAAGAUUUUUUUUUAUUUUUAAAAUUAAAAUUAAUAUUUUCACUUCCAUUAGAUUGAUGAAGAUAUAUCUGAAUCACUUUUUAUAAAAUGGUAAGGAUAUGUAUGAACUCUUAUUUAAUCAAAAUGUGAAUUAUUUUUAUAAUGAGCGAUAUAAAAAUUUUAAUUGCAAAGUUAUGAAGACUUUUUAUUUAGGGAAAAGGGUCUGAUAUACCCCUCAACUUUCAUUUAGAGCUGAUAUGGCCCUUGUGUGAAAGUGGCAUCAUAUAUACAUUAGCUUGUAAAACAAAUGGCUCACAUAUACCCUUUCCUCUAACGGAAAUGGAAAAAAUAAUCUUUACUAAUUUUUUAAUAAUUUUUUUGUCUAAAAAUUAUAUCCCAUAUGAGUAAAUUUAAUCCGUCGUAAAACAUAUUUUUUUUAAACCUUUUUUUAGUUUCAAAUGACUAUUUAUAAUUAUUAUUUUGGAUAAUCAAAUUUAUUUAUGUUUCACUAAUAUUCUUGUAAAGACUUAUUGUUAGAUGAACCAAUUUUUUCUUCGAUACCGAAUUAAAAUUACAAUACAGCACAAAAAAUAGUUUAAAUUUUUUCUCUUUAAACUAAGGAAUUGGAACAGAAAACAUAAGAAUAGAAAACUCAAAUAAUUAUAAUAAAAAAGUCAAAAAAUAAUUUAUAUAAUGAACAAAUAAAUAUCGCUGAACUUUUGAUAGAAGAAUCAUAUAUAUCCCUAAAUAAUUUUUUUAAAAAAUUAAGUAAUAAAUAUGCCAAUUUAAACUAAUUUUUUUAACUUCCGUUAAAUGAAGUGGUAUAUAUGAAGCCAUUUUGUAACGUGGAGGGGUAUAUGUGAGCGCAGCCGUUUGUAUACACGGUAAGGGCAAUAUAUGAAGCACUUUUAUAACGGGGGCGUAUUAUUAGCUCAAUAAACAAAGUUGAGGAGUAAUAUCAGACCUUUUUCUUUUAUUUAUUGUAUAAAAGCUUUCAUAUACUAGUUACAUAUUUAAAUAUUGAAAAUGUUGAUAAGAGAUACCCAUUAAAUGCUAAAGUAAUUGGUAUUGUUAAAAAAUUUCCUUUUAUUUUAUUGUAAUAUAUCUAACAUCCUCGUACUUCACUAACUAAGAAUAAAACUAAGAAUCAAGAAUAAUCAUUUUUUUUGGAAAUAAAUAGGAAAUUCCUGAAAAAUUUACCAGUUGUAAAAAGUGAGUUUUUGGUCAAUCUUCAAACGACCAUAACUCCCAGCUUAGGAGGACGUUUAGGUGUGAGUUCCUUAUUGGUUGGAAAUCCCUUGGAAAGAAAUUUCCAAACGCCAAGUUUGUACAUUUUAAGAUGUGCGUAUGAAGGAGAUAUGAUUUCGAAAGUUUUGGUUUGUUGGAGUGAGGAAAAUUCAAUCCGGAUUUAGUAGGAUAAAGUAGUCUUUUCACUCUAUAUUUCUAAUUCGUUUUUAAAGGGUUUUAUUAGGGGUAAAUCAAGUCCAUAUUCAGUUUUGAAACAGUUGAGAACGCUCAUGGCUUGGGAGAAAAGAGAGAGACCAAAUUUCUUCAAAGAAGCUCAGGUUUCGCUAGAGGAAUUCAUCGGGGGUGAUCUCUAUUCGAGGUAUAAUGAGUAUCUUUCUUAUGUUGGUCGUUCACCCCACACACCACUGUUUUAUUUAGACAAUUUUUGUAUUGAUUGAAUAAUGAAUCUUGAAGUUCUUGAUGAGCCAAUUGUUGAUCCUUAUUGGUAGAGUUGUAAGUGUCUUUAGUUGGUGUUGUUCGUAUUUUCAGGCUGUUUUACGAGUCUAACUAUUGGGUAAUGAGUUAGUAUUAGUGAUUGAUACGCUCAAACUUACUUUUUAAAUAAGAAGUAAGCAGUAAAUGGGGUUUCUAUCUCCUAAAUAAAUGAAAAUACUAAAGCGAAAUUAAGGGGACAACUAACCUUCGAUGUUGGAGUUUAAUCACUUAAUCAAAGUAACUAGGGUUUACGUGUUUCCCCCCACAGGUUUCAUAACUUGAUAAUUCUAAAUAUAACAUUCUUUUCUUUUCUUGUAUCUUGCAUUUGCAAGUGAUAAGUUAUGUAUUUCUAAAUCCUUGGUCGCGGCAUCUAGAAAAUUUUCACUCGGCAACCGGUUGGUCCGACUACGUGUGGUUUUCGCUAUAAUAACCCUUAUUAUUUACCUCAUAUUAAGCAUCCGUAUUCGUAUUUGACUAAGUUAUUACCCCGUACCAAUAAUAUCAGCCCUAUUACGAUAGUAUACACUAAAUUUAUUAUUGGAUAAUUUUUCUAUUUCUUCUCUCUUGGUCCGACAAGUAGCAUUAAAGCGCGAGUUCCUAACGUUGGCCAUCCGUUAAAGACUUCCAAGCGAAAGAAUUAUCAAUACAUGCAAGACACUAUUCUAGAAUUGUUAUUUUUACGUUGAUUUUACUCAUUAUUCGCCUAUGGUUCCCAACUACCCUAAUUAUGGAGUUUAGUUACCAUAAUCAUAAUCAAAUAAUUCCAAAUAUAUGAUAUAAGAAUUCAUGCACUUACUUCAAUGAGAAAGAGUUAAAGAUCAAAAGUUACGCUUGUUAUCACAAUCAAUUACAAGAAUAUAAAUAUCAGAAUCUCACAAAAAGUCCUAAAAAAUAAUCAAAGAGUCUAACAAUAAUCAAGGGCUAUACCAAUAAUCCAGAGUCUACCUCAAAAACGAGGUUUUUUCAAACUAUUUAUAAAUAAAACUAAUUACAUAAGGACUCUAUUUUGCUGGAAAUCUGUCAAACGCGGCUGGGUUCAACGGACCUCGGCGACGGAGCGUCGUGGUCACGACGGCUCCGUCAUGGAACGACGGACCGUCAGUGGAUCCGUCGUCCGCAUACCUUGAUGCAAUUUCUUAUGCUGCUCUCGCUCUUCAUUACCCUCGACGCAAGGUUGAUGGAUCGUUACAGGCACAACGAUCCGUCGAGGGUCUCCGUUCAAAACACUUGAACUCUUGGACAUAUGGGUACUGGGACUACUUCUCUGAACUUAUGCGAUGACUGCAGGACGGACCGUCAUGGAUACGACGGUGUCACGCAUUUUGUUAAACCCCACCCUUGGUCAGACUUCCCAUUUUUCGCUUCAGGCAGUGCUACGUUGGCCACCUACGGACCGUCACGAGCAUGACGGACCCGUCACAUAGGCAUGACGGAACGUCACAAGCAUGACUGGACCGUCACAGCAUGAGGACGGUCACAAGCUCCGUAGGUGGUCUCUUCUGCUAUUCUUUGCUCAAAACCUCCGCAUUCAAUUUUUGGCUAGAUUUCCUGAAAUAAGGAGAAACUUAUAUAAACAUUAGCAGCAAAAAGAAUUUUUUGGACAGCACUAACUUAAGGAAAAAAUAUUAAAUAAUACGUGAACCAUAGUAUAUCAGUGAUGCCUAAAGUUGUUUGGGAUAAAUCAUGAAUGUUUUGCAGGUUUAGGUUGAAAAUGCGGAGAAGAAAAGUCAGAAAACUCGUUGACAGGUCUUGUGGCAAUUCCGUGCUACAAGAGCCCUCAGGACAGACUCUUUCUGUCAGGCUCUGGCGCGCCGCCGUGCAGCUAGAGCGGCCUGAAGACAGUGUCUGUCGUCAGGCUCUGGUGCCCCGCGCCUCUCAGAGCGCAAGGGUCAGCCUGGUGAUUCCUUAUUCUCUCUCACCAUCUUUUCGUACGAGUUCCUAAGUGACGGUUCUAUUAUUUCUAGUUCGUUCCAAUAACUCUAAGUAAAUAUAAAACAUUAUGAAAUCAAUCCUAUAAUGAAUCAGGAUCGUGAAUUUUUGCAUAAUCCAAUCAAGGGAAGUUAAGAUCAAGUCAAAAAAGUUUAAGAGUCAAGUUAAAAGUUAUAAAAAACAGUUCAAAGUAGUUCCUAAAGCAUUCAAGAGUUUUAACAAACAUUUUACUUUGUUUUAAGGAUUCAAGCAUGAGUUGAGCAAAAGAGUAAAAGAGUUGAGUUAAAUUUUCAAAAGCUAUAAGGGAACUAGUAUUCCCUAAGAGUUAGUUUUCAAGUUAAAGCAAAUAGUAACAAGUUCGAGGUUCAGCUUCUCAAGAGUAGAAGGGAACUAAGUAGUCUCUUAACAGUUUAACAAGAAUGUUUUUCAACUUUUGAGAAGAAAGGAAGCUAAGACUUCCACAGAGCCUAUGAAUGUUUUAGUUAAAAGAAAAAGGAAACUAUGAUUUCUAAGAAAGUUUUUGAAGCAAAGUUUGAGAAAUUCAUCUCAAACUAGCAGAAGCAAGUUGUUUUAAAAAAACAUAUGAGCUAAGUAUUUUGGGAGUAGUAUUGAGCACGAUAUGGUGAGCGCGAGUUCAUAUUAACGUCAAGUCUCCAUAAACCAUUGAGCAACAUGGGAUAUAAAAGAUAUACUUUUAGAUGAUUCGCUUAGUAUUUUAGCAUAGAUAGUGUGAUCCUCUUAGUAGUUUCAAGGUUCUAUACGACGACAAGGUAUAGAGUGGUCCUCUUGCAACAUGAGGUAAUACGUUUGUAACCAUCACUUAGCUCAUACGAUGGUUGUCCGUUAGAUAAAUCUCUCAAAGAAAUUAUAAUACUUUCAAAUUAUAUGAGUAAAGUUGAGUUUUUUAUUGAUUUAUCUUUAAUGACUAAGUGUUUACCUGUUUUUUCAAGCUUUUCUUUUAAUAUCGCCAUGUGAUCCUAUACUGGCUUUAUAUUGAGUCGUUAUUAAUUGAAGUUGAGCAGGAACCAGGUAAGUUGCUUCCUUACUCCUUUCAAGCCUUAUAGUAGUGUUUAGGUAUUGCCAUUACGCAUACAUCGUUUGGCUGCAUGCAUAGUCUUUAAUGCCAGAAGCAGGGUAAUUAGGAUCAACAUGCAGCACUCUUGUUGAACCAGUUUGAGGCUCUAGAGUCAAGUGGUCGAGCCUCAUGCAUUCGGAGGAUCCUUUUUAUUGCUAUCUAGUUAGUUCAAUAGAUGUUGUGGGGUUUGUCCCAACAUUCAUCUCAGUCAGUUAGAGGGUUUCAUAUGACGGAUAGUAGUAGUUAGUUGUUCUCUUUUAUUUCAGAUUCUAUUAUUUGAGACUUAGUGCAAAUUUUGGCCAAGGACAGUAUUUAAAGUCAUUUUUAUGAGAGUUCUUGCAUUCUAUAGACUGAAUUAAGUUGAGUCUUCUGUGAGUUAAGUAGUCAGACCACGAGUUCCCUUGAGGGCGCAGCAUGGUCACCAGUGCUAGUCCAACCCAGGGUAUAAAUGCUCGGAGCAUGCUAAUAUAUGCAUUUUUCAUAUACGACUUACGUAUUCAGAUACUUUUAACAUUUUGUUUAGAGCAGAAGAGUCUUAACUUAUUAUGCUAGGUGAAGUAUUGAUAUAUUGGGAUAUUGGUACUUAUUAUUAUGUUUACUUUAAUCUUAUUUAUAAGUUACAACACACGUAAGCACACACAAGGUGCUCAACAUGUGUGCUUGAAGUAAAAUUAAUUUUGAAUGAGGUUUAAUUUGGUCUUUUAUAUAAUACUCAAUGAUUUUCGCUUUUUUACCAACUUUUAAAACACACUUGUAAAAAUGCAAAAUUGCUUUUAUGGACAUCAAAUGACCAAAAACCGCGCGAGUAUCCUUUAACCUCAUUGUAUAUGUUAUAGAACAUUGCAAUUGGUUGAAACUGAACUUUAAAUGUAAGUUGCAAUUUAUUAUUUUUCUUCUUGUCUAAAACUGCCCUAUGCGGCUUAAGCUUUAUUUUUAUCAACUAUUUGUUUAUUAGUGGAGAAAUAGCUCUUUAGAUGAGUCCUUUUAAGCGGUACCGCGAGCUAGGAUAUUAAUAUAUGUCUUUUCGUUUUAUUUUAUGUCAUUUGUUACUAAAAAUAGGUAAUAUUAAUAUUUAUCAUUUCACAAGUAAUGGUAAUCAUUAUAUAGUAAUGAAAUCGACGUCUCUGAACUCUGUGACGGACGUCAGGUACGACGAACGUCGUGAGCCCGUUUCAAAACACUUCAACUCUUGAGAAUUUUGGUACAGGGAACGAUUCUCCUGAAACGUCAUGACGGAGGUGCAGGACGGACCGUCGAGGUCGAUGGCCGUCACAGAUCCUUAAGUGAAUCGAAGUCCUUUGACGAACCUGCAUGACGGCCGUCGCAGGCACGACGGGCCCGUGCGCAGGUUGGCAUCAGUCUAAGGUCAGAUUUCUUUACACAUUUUAAGGGACGUUUUUGACUAUUCCUUCUUUAAUUUAAAGUUAGUGGUUAAUGUUAAUUAAGUUAAUUACUUGGGUUGGUUAAAGGGUUAAACCUCAAGUUUAAAUUAGUGGGUUAUUAUUGCAUCUUUCAUUCUUAAUUAUAUACUAAUUGGUAAAAGAAAGGGGUUUUGAAUAAAGAAAAUAGAAGAACACAUAAGAGGAGGGGAGAUAUCGAACGAGAAGGGAUAAAAGAAGAGGAGAACACAAAGCUUGGGAAAUUGGCUUGCUUGGAUUUCUUGUUUCGGUGGAGGUAGGUUUUGGUUUUCAUGGCCUAUUCGUAGUAAACUUUAAUAGCGAAUGAUUGUGUUAGUAGUAUUGUAAACCCUUCUAAUUGCUUAAUUGUAAUGCUUGCCAUGAAUGAUGUGAUUAUCGGAAUUAUUGAAUAAAUAAGCAUGAUGAAGUUAUGGAAUCCGCAAUCUUGAAAAGAACCCUAAUUACUUUGUUAUGAUGAUGCCUGGUAAUAAAAGAAGGCUUGAUGAAGCGAAAGGGGUGAGAACAUAAAUCAAAUGGAGUGAGCUCAAAUUUAGUGAAUUUUUUUUUAAAAAAUAUUUUGUUGUUUAACAAUUUUUAAAAUGAAAAUGCUAAACCUUUUUCACAAUUAUGUUUUAUAGUUUUUUUAUCAAUAUCUAGUCGAUGAUAACCAUAAUUUUAAUAUAAAUAAUAUAAUAAGGUAACUUAAUUCUGAAAUUCAAGUAUUGAUAUUUUUGAGAAAAUAUUUAUUUAUAAAUUGUAAAACAUUCAUAAUCUAAUAUUUAAUAUGUUUCUUACUCUCAACGAAUGACACUAAUUCAUCAUGAUUCAAAAUUGUAAGAAGUAAAAAUCAAUACUAAAAAGUGCAACUCAUUAUUAUAUGAAGUUUAAUAUGUAGUUUAUCUAUUGUCGAAAGUUUUCCAAGUAUAUGAUAUAUAAUUCUAUGAUAAAUUAAUUUUUGAUCCCAUAUAUUUAUACUAUUUUCAAAUUUAUCCCGUUAAUUGAUUAUAUAUUUUCUUAAACUACAAUUACGCGAUCAUUAUUUAUCAAUUCUACUUUAUCAACUUUAUAUUCUUCUUUUUAUAUCUUUAGAAUUGUGCUAUUUUUGUUUUCUUAUUUAAGUUACAAUUUUAAAGAUAAAAUAAAUAUUUUUGGAGAUAAAAUAAGUUAAAUAAAAAACUAUAUGAAUACUUAUGUUGAAAAAAAAUAUAUAUAAUUAAAAAAUUGUCCUAUUUUUAUUUUCUUAUUUAAGUCACAAUUUUUAAAGAUAAGAUAAAUAUUAUUUUGAGAUAAAAUAAGUUAAAUAAAACUAUAUGAAUACUUUUGUUUAGAAACAUUAUAUAUAAUUAAAAAAAUUACAUAUAUGAAAGAUUUUAUAAAUUAUACUGGUUAUGUUGUAGUAGUAAUAAACAUAGAUGAACAAUUUGUAUUGUCAAGAGUAUAAAAAUAAAAAUAUUUUUCACAUUAUUAUUAUAUCAAACAAAUACAAAUUGAUUUUCAAAAAGAAUAAUAAAAUGUAUUUGUGGGUCACACAUGAAACAAAAAUAUGUGAUUCUUGAAAAAAAAAUAAUAGAUUCUUCUAGAAAACUAUUUUGACAAUUAAUUAUACAAUUAUAAAUUUAAAACUUAACCCAUAAAAAUAAUUAAAAUUACAAAAUUGUCAUUGAUUGGCCUCAUCAUGACUCUUAUGUAUAAUAGAAACUAGAUAAUUGAAGGCCCGUUCAUGGGCUCAAUAUAAUUAAUUAUUUUUUUCAAUUUUAAGUUAAAAAAAUUAUCCAAAUUAAUAUCUUAUUUUAUCAUAGUUUCUAAAAUUUUCUACUAUUUAAACAAUUACAAAAAUGUCCUCUAAGAUACAUUCUUAUCCUCUGUCGGACACAUCAGUAUCUCCUCUCGAAUACAUUCCUAUCAUUUCUUGAAUACAUCUUUAUCUCAUCCUGAAACAUCCAUAUCCUCUCUGGGAUACAUCUCUCCCCUUUCGGAUACAUUCAUUCUCUCUCGAAUACAUCCCUACCUUCUCGAAAUCAUCGUGAGCUCUAUGUCUGCAAGUUUCCUCAAUAGCAAUGUAUCACGAUCGAUGUAUCCGCAUGUGUUGAUUUAUCUGAAAUUAUUUAAUUUUAAAAAGAUUUCGUAAUUUGAAAAAAGUAGGAAUAUAAUGUAAUUAACUCUUUACUCUAUGACAUAUUUUUCUUUGUAGUCAGUUUCAAAAGAAUGAUGUAUAACAUAUUUAAAUAACAUUUUGACUUUAAAAUAUUCAUUCUAUUCUUAGUAAUAUUAUUUAUAGUCAUAUGAACAUCUAUGGUUUGUUUUAGACCAUGAGUUUUAGAAGUGUUUUUUCUUUUAAAAAUUUUCGUGUUAAGUUAAAUUAAAAUUCCAUAAACCGAAAGGGAGUGAGUACAAACUUUAGAUCAAUUUUAUAUUUAUAAAAUUAAAGUUUUUGUAACUAUUUUGUCUUUUAACAAAAUUUAAAAUGAAAUAAUUCACAAUUAUUUUUAUAGUAUUUUUUUAAAAUCAAUAUUCUAUCAAUAAUAAUAAAUUUUUUUUAAUUUAAAUAAGAUAAUAAAGUAUUUUAAUUUUGAAAUUCAUGUAUUGAUAUCAAUUGAGAAAAUAUUUAAUUUUAAGUUGUAAAACAUUCAUAAUCUAAUAUUUAAUGUGCUCCUUACUCUCGAUGAAUGACACUAAUUUAUAAUAAUUCAAGAUUGCAAGAAGUAGAAAUCGAGACUAAAACGUGCAACUCACUAUUAUAUGAAGGUCACUAUGUAAUUUAUCUAUUGUGGAAGUCUCAUUAGUAUAUGAUAGAUAAUUCUAUGCCAAAUUAAUUUUUGUUUUCAUAUAUUUAUACAAUUUCAAAAUUUAUCCCGUUAAUUGGUUAUGUAUUUUAUUAAACUACAACUGCACUCAUUAUUUCAUCUUUUUUUUUUAUUCUUACAUUAUCAACUCUAUUUUUUUAUCUCUUUAGAAUUGUGAUACUUUUGUUUUCUUAUUUAAAUCACAAUGUUUUAAAGAUAAAACAAAUUUUAUUUUGGAGAUUAAAUAAAUAUUAUUUUGAAGAUAAAAUAAAAAAAAGAUUUACUAACCUACAACCAGGAAGAUCCACUUUGAAACCCAGCGACGAAGAAAACUUUGAAACUCUUAGCCGCGAAAUGAGGGUGAAAGAGUAAAAUCAUUUCUGGAAAAUAAUGAAACGAGGGGGAAAAAAGCGUAAUAAAGAUUUAAGGAAUUAGUCUAUGUGGUAGUGGACCCUAUUGACAUGCAAUAUGGAAUUCACAUAGCAUUUAACAACUUCUCUUAAUUAGAAGGGCAAUUUUGACCCAAUAGUUUCACGGAAAGGGUACUUUUGAGCCGAAAUAUACUUUAAGGGUAAAUAUGAGUUAUUUCAGAUAGUUUAAAAGUAUUUUUUACCCUUUUACUUUUAGUCUACGUGGUAGUGGAACCCUAUUGACGUGCAAUGUGAUGGCAUUUAACAACUUCCAUUAAUAAGAAUUGCACUUUUGACACAAUAGUUUGACGGGGAGGAGAGUUUUGAGCGGAAAUAUAAUUUAAGGUAAAUAUGAAAUAUUUCAGAUAGUUUAAGGAUAUCUUUGACCCUUUUAUGUUAAAACUAUAUGAAUACUUAUGUCUAAAAAACAUUGUAUAAAAUUAAAAGGAAAUUAAAUCAUGGAAGAUGGUAGGUUAUACUGAAUAUGUUGUAGUAACAACAAACAUAUAUAAACUAUUAAGUUGUAUAAAUAUUUUUUAUUUAUUAUAAUCAAACAAAUAAAAGUUAAUUUUUAAAAAUUAAAUAAAAUGAUUACAUGGAGUCACCAUGAAACAAAACUUUUUGUGACUCUUGAAAAAGAUUAUUGGAUACUUCUAGAAAAUUAUUUUGACCACUGAUUAUGCAAUUAUAAAGUUGUAAUUUUGCCCAUAAAUAAUGUUUAAAAUUACAAUAUUGUCAUUGGUCAUCCUAAUCAUGACUCUUCUAUAUAAUAGAAAUAAUAAUAACUAGAUAUCAGGUGCCCGUGCUAACGCAAACGCAACGUAUGUUAGAUUUUUCUUCUUCCAAUUUAUGUGACAAAAAUGAAAUUUGAAAAAAAUGAACUAAAUUUUUUAUAUGUGUUUUUUUUAAAAAUAUUUUAAAUUAUUAAUUUAUGUAUCUUUUUUGUCAUUUUCGAAUAAUAUAUGUUACUUUAUCUAUUUUAUUUUAUAUGAUACAAGUGAUUUUAGGAAAGUAAACGAAAUUUCUUAUAUGAUUUUCAUAUAUUUUUAGUUGUCAUUUUACUGCGAUUCAUAGUACUUUUUAGUUAUUACGUUAUUUUCAAACAAUAUAUGCAACUUUUUUUUUGUUUCAAUAAAAAUAAGGGAGUCAACAAAAUUUCAUUAUGUUUUUUCAACUACAUUUUUCUAAAAAUAUUUUAAAUUGUUACAUUGCUUUUUAAAGUUUUUUUAAAUGUAACUUUCAAAUAUGUAACAAAUUAGAAAUUAAAACGAAGAAUUAAAGUUUUCAAAUCAUUAUAUUUCUAUAUUAGAAUAUUAAAACCUUUAAAACUACAUAUAUAUGCAUAAAUUAGUAGAAGGAAGCCUAACAACUUAUUUUUAAAAAAAUAUAUGAGAGCUCAUUUUAAUAGUAAUACAUACAUAUUUCAUUUUUCAAUAUCCGAAUCCCUCCUUUUCGAUUUAUAUAAAUUUAAUUUAAUUUAAUUUUUAUUUUGUUUCAAAAAGAAAAUAACUUCUGAAUUUUAUUUGUUUAUAAAGCAUAUUUAAGAUCACAAAAUCAAAAAAAAAUUUCAAUUCACAAAAUUUAAAUAUACAUAUAAAUUUUAAUUUUAAUUUUGAUUGGUUCCACCUAAUAUUAUACUUGAUAUAUAAUUAUUAAGAGCUAAGCGUAAUCAUUAUCUAUUUACUUUCGUAUAAUAAAUAGAUAUCACAAUAACUCUUAAAAAAUGAAGAAAUAACGAAAAUGAGGUAAUACUAAUAAUAAUCACUAAAGAUUUUCUAGAACUAGUUAAAUUUCUUGUUAUCAAUCGUGUUAGUUUUUUGCUUGCAUAAAUUACAUUUUUACCUUCGAUCAUCAUUCACUUCAUAUAUAGAAAGAUGUUUCUAGAAUUAUUUAUUCUUGAUAAAUUUUUGUUAGAAUGAAAUUACAUUUUAUUCUUAGUCGUCUUUAAUACAAAGUAUCAUCCUAUUCAUUUUUUAUUUGUCAAGUUACUUUUUAAGAUCUUUUUCUUUAAUUUCAGUCUAAUAUAUAUUAUUAAUUUAUCACACUUAUUUAUUUUCAAGUAUAUUAUUAGAGUCAAAAUAAAGAUGAAAAUAAUUAAUUCAUGAUAACUUUUUAUAUAAAAAGUAGGCAUAUAUUAUAAGCAUAAUGAAUAGAAAAAAAUAUUAAGAAUUAAUUUAAAGUAAUAGUAAAGUAGAGUAAUUAUAAAAUAGAUAUCACAAUAACUCACAAAAGAAAAGAAAGUGAAGUGAUAACAAAAUAAGUUAAUGGUAAUAAUAAUAACUUAAAAUAUUUCUAGAACUAUUAUUUUUAUUUUUUUUUGUUAUCAUUCUUCAUAGAUUUUUGUUAGCAUGAAAUUAUAUUUUUGCUGUAACGACCUAUUUAGUCGUUUGGAGCAGCAGAGUUAAUUUCUGAAAAUCACUGUCUGGGUCGACGGAUCCCACGACAGACCGUCAUGGGCACGACGGACCGUCGAGGGUGUCUCGUGCCAAAACACUUAGAAUUUAGAAAUUUGGGUACUGAGAUCGACUCUCUGAACUUCACGACGAAAUGGCAGGACGGACCGUUGAGGGCUCGACGGACCGUCACAAAUCCUUCCGCAGAAUUAACUCUCUGAACCUUGUGACGGACGUGCAGGACGGACCGUCACAGGCUGCGUGACCCUGACUGGGUCGGAUUUCUGUUAAAUAUUUUAAGGGGCGUUUUGGACUAUUCCUACUUAUAAUUAUAAAGUUAGUGGUUUAAUGUUAAUAAUUUAAUUACUUGGGGGUUAAAAGAGAGAACCUUGAAACAAAUAGUGGGAUAUUUUAUCAUCUUUUAUACUUAAUUAUAUGCUAAUUAGGGUAAAAGAAAGAGGGUUUGAAUAAGAAAAAGAAAAAGAACAGAGAGAGAGGGAGAAACGAUCGAUUGAGAGAGAAGAAGAACGCAGCUUUGGGAAAGUAGAUUGCUUGAUCACAAUCCUUCGGUGGAGGUAGGUUAUGGUUUAUGCUAUUCGUAGUAAACUCUUAAUAGCGAAUGAUAUGUAUUGGGUAGUGUUGUAAACCCUUCUAUAUGCUUAAUUGUAUGCUUGCAUGAAUGUGAUUAUAUAAUUGUGAUAAAAUAAGCAUGAUGAAGCUAUUGAAUCCUAAAUCUUGAAAAUCCUAAUCUACUUUGUUAAUGAUGAUGCCUUGGUAUAAAAGAAGGCUUGAUGAACGAAAGUAGUAAGAUUAGGGGAUCGGAGUGUCACGUUCCGACACCAGGAUAGUAUAUGGAUCGGGUGCCACGUUCCGGUACCAGGAUAGUAUAUGAGGAUCGGAGUGUCACGUUCCGACACCAGGAUAGUAUAUGGAUCGGGUGCCACGUUCCGGUACCAGGAUAGUAUAUGAGGAUCGGAGUGCCACGUUCCGGUACAAGGAUAGUAUAUGAGGAUCGGAGUGUCACGUUCCGACACCAGGAUAGUAUAUGGAUCGGGUGCCACGUUCCGGUACCAGGAUAGUAUGAUGAGGAUCGGAGUGUCACGUUCGGACACCAGGAUAGUAUAUGGAUCGGGGUGUCACGUACCGACACGAGAGAAAUAAAGAUAAUGAAUCUUGAAAGAUGUUAAUAUACUCAAUUUAAUGAACCUAAUUCCCAAAUGAGUAUGAUGGGGAGGCGUGAGUCCUCAUUGAUGUGCUUGGUGUUGUGACCAAGAGUUAUGAUAAUUAUAAAUGCCGCAUGUUGAGUAUUGUAGUUGAUUUUAUGAUAUAUAUCAUAUUAUCUGAUAUAUACUAUUUUCUAUUUUGAGUUGGCCGAUGAUAUCUACUCAGUACUCGUGUUUUGUACUGACCCCUACUUGUAAUUGUUUUUCUUUGUUAUUUGUGGAGUGCAGCAAACGUACCGUCGUCUUCAACUCAACCGCAACUCUAGCCAGUCUUCAUUACACCGGAUUUCAGGGUGAGCUAACGCUUCUAGCUUGGACUGGAUCUUCUUCUUCAUGUCUUGAUGCCUUGAAGUUCCGGCAUGGACUAGCUUUUUAUUUAUUCUAGCUUUCUAGAUACUCUUAGAAUUAGUAAUUUAAGGAUAGAUGUUCUUGUGAUGAUGACUUCCAGAUUUUGGGAAUAAUAAGUAUUGAGUUUUUAGAAGUUAUUUAACCGAUUUUCAUUAAUGAGUUUAAGUCUUCCGCAUUAUAUUCUGUUUAUUAUGGUUCAAAUGUUGGGGUUUAGAUUGGUUGGUUCGCUCACAUAGGAGGGUAAGUGUGGGUGCCACUCGCGGCCCGCUUUGGGUCGUGACAUUUGCCCUUGAUUAUUAUUUACUUCAUAUAUAGAAAGAUGUUUCUAGUAUUAUCAAUUAUCUUGCUUAAUAGAUUUUUGUUAGCGUGAAAUUACAUUUUUGCCCUUAAUCGUCCUCCCACUUCACUCUUCUAUAUAAUUGAAUAGAAAUACAUUAUAUAAAAUAAAUAUUUAUAAAUGAUUAUAAGUUUUCUAUAUCCUUUUUAUAGUGAUUAAUUUACAAUAGGUAAAUGGAUAUGUAUGGGUAAUAAAAUAUAUAUGAGAAUAGUAAUUUAAUUGUGAUAUAUGGCAAAUUCAUCAAAUAGUCAGUCUCUAAUAAUUUAUAUAUUAGUAGUGAAGUAUAAUGUUAAAUUUUAAACGAGGAUUUACAUAACGUGAGAAAGACUUCUUUUCUUUUUUAUUUUCUCAAGAGAUUUUUACAUUUUAAAAUUAGUUUAUAACUUAACAUUAAAUUACUUUAUAUGUAUUUUACUUAUUCAAACUCUCACAUAAUUACUUGUACAUUUGUUUAUUUAUGGUCUUCAUAUAUAACCCCUAGUAUAGCCUUGCUAAACUAAAUUUUGAAAAUUAUUACUAGUAAGGUGUUUGUUUCCUCACCUCAUAUAUUUACAUCAUAUGCAUAAAAAUUAUGUAAAAUGAAUAACAUAUUUUUUUAUUUAUUUUUAAAGAGACUAGUUAUUUGGGGCCGCUAAAGCCUACUUCAAAAUUAGCAAAUCAAAAGAAAGGAAGUGUACCUAUCAACCAAGUAAAAAUGUCAACUACUUCUAAAAAGUUUGGACAAUUUUUAAGACUAUGAAAAUAUAGAGACAUAGUAAAAUAUUGCGUGAAUCACUUAAUAAAAUCGAAAACAUAAUAUAUUGGAGAUAGUUUUACUAAAAAUAAUUUUACAAUAAAAUUGAAAUGUGUACAUAUUUAUUGAAUUGUGGGUAUAGAGACAAUUUUUAAGCUUUUUUCUGAUUUACAUAUAUUAAAUCGCGAAAGAAGUCAUGUGUUCUUAAUAAAAUAAUCGCUAAUGGCAAUUAUAUUUGCUGCUAAAAUUCUUCCUCUAAAUAACUUAAUUUACACUUUUAGCGUUUAAGACGCAAUGUCCAUCUUAAACUAAUAAAUAUGAGAAAUAAAUAAACUCAAUUGGGGGAUAACAAUUUCUUAAUUAGUAUGUUAUAUAUACAUUAUUUCAAUUAUACUUUCGAGUUUUGAUAUUACGAAAAUAUAAUGUCAAACUUUAAAGACAAGAAUUUACAAAUGAGAACGACUUUUUUUUAAAAAUAUAAUGUCAAACUUUAAAGACAAGAAUUUACAAACCAUGAGAACGACUUUUUUUUAAUUAUACGUUUUAUUAUAUAUAUAUAUAUAUAUAUACAUACACACACACAUAUAUAUACAUAUAUCAUUGACUCUAUAUAUAUAAGAUAGGAAAGAGGUUAAAAUAUAUCAUUGAACUUUCAGAAAAAAACUCAUUUAUUCAUCAGUUAAAAGUUUGGCUCAUUUAUGCCAUUACCGUUUAAAAAAGAUUCAUUCUUGCCAUUAUUUUUUAAUAAUGGUUUCGCAAAACCAUUUUUAAUACGUGACCAAUUAUAAUUCGGCUACGUCCUCAAUUUAUUUAAUUAAAAAAUCAUCAUUCUAAAAAAAAUUGAAUUCAUUUUUUUUGAUUUUUUUAUUAAAUAAAUUGAUGACAUGGCUAAUUAGAAUUCAGUGGGAUUUCUUAAAUUUGGGCGGGUCUUUAUUUGAGUGGGGUUUUUAUUUAAUGUUUUCUCAGAAUUGAUUUUUUAUCAAAAAAAAAUAAAAAUGAUGUGGCCGAAUCAUAACUUGUCACGUGUGAAAAGUGGUUGGGCAAAAUCGCCGUUAAAAACUAAUGGCAUGAAUGAGUCUUUUCCUAAAUGGUAAUAACAUGAACGAGUCAAACUUUUAACGGAUGACAUAAAUGAGUCUUUUCUAAAAGUUCAACGGCAUAUUUGAGCUUUUUCACUUAUUAAAAAAGUGGCUUACAUACACUCAUAUUAUUACAUAAAUAUUCUAAAAUAUACCAUUUUGUUCUAACGGGAGUGAAAACAAAUAUUUUUUUAAACAUAAUUUUUUAUUUUUAAGAAGUAAAAUCUGAAUAUAUUAUCUUCCACUUUCCUAGAAAAUAUUAUCCUACAAGAUUUUUUAUUUUUAAAAAUUAAAAUUAAUAUUUUCACUUCCAUUAGAUGAUGAAGAUAUACCUGAAUCACUUUUAUAAUGGUAAGGAUAUGUAUGAACUCUUUUAAUUCAAAUGUGAAUUAUUUUAUAAUGAGCGAUAUAACAAUUUUAAAUUGCAAAGUUAUGAAGACCUUUUUAUUUAGGGAAAAGGGUCUGAUAUACCCCUCAACUUUGUCAUUUAGAGCUGAUAUGCCCCUUGUUGUGAAAGUGGCUCAUAUAUACCCUUACUUGUAAACAAAUGGCUCACAUAUACCCUUUUCCUCUAACGGAAAUGGAAAAAAAAAUAAUUUUAAUCUAAUUUUUUAAUAUUUUUUGUCUAAAAAUUAUAAUCCCAUAUGAGUAAAUUUAAUCCUCGUAAAACAUAUUUUUUUAACCUUUUUUAGUUUCAAUGACUAAUUUAUAAUUAUUAUUUUGAUAAUCAAAUUUAUUUAUGUUUCACUAAUAUUCUUGUAAAACUUAUUGUAGAUAACCAAAUUUUUUCUUCGAAUAUGAAAUUAAAUUACAAUACACACAAAAAAUAGUUUAAAUUUUUUCUCUUUAAACUAAGGAUUGAAAGAAAAAACAUAAGAAUAAGAAACUCAAAUAAUUAUAAUAAAAAAAGUCAAAAAAUAAUUUAUAUAUGAAAAAAAUCAAAAUAUACCUUGAACUUUGAUAGAAGAAUCAUAUAUAUCCCUAAAUAAUUUUUUAAAAAAAAUUACAAGUAAUAAAUAUCAAUUUAAAACUAAUUUUUUAACUUCCGUUAAAUGAAGGGUAUAUAUGAGCCAUUUUGUAACGGGAGGGGUAUAUGUGAGCCGUUUGUAUAACGGUAAGGGCAUAUAUGAGCCACUUUUAUAACGGGGGGUAUAUUAGCUCCAAAUAACAAAGUUGAGGGGUAUAUCAGACUCUUUUUCCUUUUAUUUAUUGUAUAAAAGCAUUUCAUAUACUAGUUACAUAUUUAAAUAUUGAAAAUGUUGAUAAGAGAUCCCAUUAAAUGCUAAAGUAUUGGUAUUUUAAAAAAAUUUCCUUUUAUUUAUUGUAUAUAUCUAACAUCUCGUAACUUCAAAUAACUAAGAAUAAACUAAGAAAUCAAGAAUAAUCAUUUUUGGAAAUAAAUAGGAAAUCUGAAAAAUUUCCCAAGUGUAAAAGUGAGUUUUUGGUCAAUUUCAAACGACCAUAACUCCCAGCUUAGGAGGAGUUAGUGUGAGUUCCUUAUAUGGUUGGAAAUCCCUUGGAAAGAAAUUUCCAACAACGCCAAGUUUGUACAUUUUAGAUGUCGUAUGAAGGAGAUAUGACUUUCGAAAGUUUGGUUGUUGGAGUGAGGAAAAUUCAAUCCGGAUUUAGUAAGGAUAAAGUAGUCUUUUCACCCUAGUAUUUUCUAAUUCGUUUUAAGGGUUUAUUAGGGGUAAAAUCAAGUCCAUAUUCAGUUUUGAAAAAGUUGAGAACGCUCAUGGCUUGGGAGAAAAGAGAAGAGAAGAGAAGAGAAAACCAAAAUUUCUUCAAGAACGCUAAGGUUUCGCUAGAGGAAUUCAUCGGGGGUGAUCUCUAUCGAGGUAUAUGAGAUCUUUCUAUGUUGGGUUCGUUCACCCACACACCAACAUGUUUAUUUAGCAAUUUUUGUAUUGAUUGAAUAAUGAAUCUUGAAGUUCUUGAUGAGCAAUUGUUGAAUCCUUAUUGGUAGAGUUGUAGUGUACCUUUAGUUGGUGUUGAUUCGUAUUUUCAGGCUGUUUUACGAGUCUAAACUAUUGGGUAUUGAGUAUAUUAGUGAUUGAUACGCUCAAACUUACUUUUUAAAUAAGAAGUAAAGCAGUAAAUGGGGGUUUCUAUUCCUAAAUAAAUGAAAAUAACUAGCGAAAUUAAAGGAGACAACUAACAACUUCGAAUGUUGGAGUUUAAUCACUUAAUCAAAGUAACUAGGGUUUACGUGUUCCCCACAGGUUCAUAACUUGAUAAUUCUAACUAUAACAAUUCUUUCCUAGUAUCUUGCAUGCAAAGUGAUAAGUUAUGUAUUUCUAAAUCCUUGGUCCGGCAUCUAGAAAAUUUCACUCGGCACCUUGGUCCGACUACGUGUGUUGCUAUACUAACCCUUAUAUUUACCUCAUAUUAAGCAUCGUAUUCGAUAUUUGACUAAGUUAUUACCCCGUACCAAUCAAUACUAGCCUAUUAGAUAGUAUACACUAAAUUUAUAUUGAUAAUUCUUUUCCUAUUAUCUACCUCCUUGGUCCGACAAGUAGCAUUAAGGCGAGUUCUAACGUUGGCCAUCCGUUAAAAAGACUUCCAAGCGAAAGAAUUAUCAAUACAUGCAAGACACUAUUCUAGAAUUGUUAUUUUAGUUAGAUUUUACCUCAUUAUUCGCCUAUGGUUCCCACAACCCUAAUUAUGGAGUUUAGUUACCCAUAAUCAUAAUCACAAUAUUCAAAUAUAUGAUAUAAGAAUUCAUGCACUUACUUCAAUGAGAAAGAGUAAAAUCCAAAAGUUAGCUUGAUUAAUCAACAAUCAAUUACAAGAAUAUCAAAAUAAUCAAGAAUCUCACAAAAAGUCUAAAAAAUAAUCAAGAGUCUAACAAUAAUCAAGGGCCUAACCAAAUAAUCCAGAGUCUAACCUCAAAAACGAGGUUUUUCAAACUAUUUAUAAAAAAUAAAAACCUAAUUACAUAAGGACUCUAUUUGCUGGAAAUCUGUCAAAACGCGGCUGGGUCAACGGACCUCGCGACGCAUCGUCGUGGUCACGACGGACCGUCAUGGACUCCGUCGUCCCAUACUUGAUGCAAUUUCUUAUGCUGCUCUCUUCAUUACUCUCGACAGCAGGUAUGAUGGAUCGUUACAGGCACAACGAUCCGUCGAGGGUCUCCGUUCCAAAACACUUGAACUCUUGGAAUAUGGGUACUGGGACUACUUCUCUGAACUUCAUGACGAACCUGCAGGACGGACCGUCAUGGAUACGACGGUCCGUCACGCAUUUUGUAACCCCACACUUGGUCAGACUUCCCCAUUUUCCUUCAGCAGCUGCACUACGUUGCCACCUACGGACCGUCACGAGCAUGACGGACCGUCACAAGCAUGACGGACCGUCACAAGCAUGACGGACCGUCACAAGCUCCGUAGGUGGUCUCUUCUGCAUUUCUUUGCUCAAAAACCUCCGCAUUCAUCUUUGGAUAGAUUUCCUGCAAAUAAGGAGAAACUUAUAUAAAAAUUAGCACAAAAAGAUUUUGGACACACUAACUUAAGGAAAAAAUAUUAAUAAUACCGUGACACCAUAGUAUAUCAGUGAUCCUAAGUGUUUGGGAAAAAUCCAUGAAUGUUUUGAAGGUUUAGAGUUGAAAAUCGGAGAAGAAAAGUCAGAAAACUCGUCUGACAGGUCUUGUGGCACCGUGCCUACAAGAGCCCCUCAGGACAGACUCUUUCUGUCAGGCUCUGGCGCGCCGCCGUGCCAGCUAGAGCGCCUGAAGACAGUGUCUGUCGGUCAGGCGCUGGUGCCCCGCGCCUCUCAGAGCGCCAGGGUCACCUGGAGAUUCUAUUUCUCUCCCAUCUUUUAGUACGAGUUCCUAAGUGACGUAUCUAUUAUUUCUAGUUAGUUCCAAUACUCUAAAGUAAAUAUAAACAUUAUGAAAUCAUCCAUAAUAAUGAGAUCAGGAUCCGUGAAUGCAUAAUCCAAUUCAAGGGAAGUUAAGAUCAAAGUCAAAAAAAGUUAAGAGUCAAGUCUAAAAGUUAAAAAACAAGUCAAAGUAAGUUCCUAAAGCAUUCAAGAGUCUUAAACAAACAUUUUAACUUUGUUUUAAGGUUCAAGCAAUGAGUUGAGCAAAGAGUAAAAGAGUUGAGUUAAAUUUUCAAAAGCUAUAAGGGAACUAAGUAUUCCCUAAGAGUUAAGUUUCAAGUUAAGCAAAUAGUAACAAGUUGAGUUCACUUCUCAAGAGUUAGAAGGGAACUAAGUAGUCUCUAACAGUUUAAACAAGAUGUUUUUAAACUUUUGAGAAAGAAAGGAAGCUAGACUUCCACAGAGCCUAUGACUAGUUUUAGUAAAAGAAAAAGGAAACUAUGAUUUCUAAGAAAGUUUUUGAAGCAAAGUUUGAGAAAUUAUCUCAAACUAGAGAAGAAGUUGUUUUAAAAAAACAUAUGAGCUAAGUAUUUUGGGAGUAGUAUUGAGCACCGAUAUGGUGACGCGAGUUCAUAUUAACUCAAGUCUCCAUAAACCAUUGAGCCAACAUGGAGAUAUAAAAGAUCAUACUUUUUAGAUGAUUCCUUAGUAAUUUUAGCAUAGACUAGUGAAUCCUCUUAGUAGUUCAGGUUCUAUAUCGACGACAAGGUAUAGAGUGGUCCUCUUGCAACAUGAGGUAAUACGUUGUACCAUCACUUAGGCUCAUAGAUGGUUGUCGGUUAGAUAAUCUCUCAAAGAAAUUAUAAUACUUUCAAAUAUAUGAGUAAAGUUGAGUUUAUUAUUGAUUUAUCUUUAAUGAACUAAGUGUUUACACUGUUUUACAAGCUUUUCUUAUAUCGCAUGUGUCCUUACUGCUUUAUAUUGAGUCGUUAUUUCAUGAGUUGAGCAGAACCAAGGUAAGUUCUUCCUUACUCCUUUCAAGCCUUAUAGUAGUGUUUAGUAUUCCAAUUCGCAUACUCGUUUGGCCUGCAUGCAUCGCCUUAUAAUGCAGAAGCAGGUAAUUAGGAUCAACAUGCAGCACUUUGUUGAACCAGUUUGAGCUCUAGAGUCAGUGGUGAGCCUCCAUGCAUUUCGGAGGAUCCUUUUAUUGCUAUCUAGUUAGUUCAAUAGAAUGUUGUGGGGUUUGUCCCAACAUUCAUCUCAGUCAGUUUAGAGGUUUCAUAGACGGAUAGUAGUAGUUAAGUUGUGUCUCUUUAUUUCAGAUUCUAUAUUUGAGACUUAAGUGCAAAUUUGGCCAAGACAGUAUUUAAAGUCAUUUUUAUGAGAACUUCUUCAAUUCUAUAACUGAAUUAAGUUGAGUCUUCCGCUGAGUUAAGUAAGUCAGACCAAGAGUUCCCUUGAGGCCAGCAAUGGUCACCAAGUGCUAGUCCCACCCAGGGUAUAAGCUCGGAGCAUGCUAAUAUAUGCAUUUCAUAUACGACUUACGUAUUCAGAUACUUUUAACAUUUUGUUAGAGCAGAAGAGUCUUAACUUAUAUAUGUAGGUGAAGUAUUGAUAUAUUGGGAUAUUGGUACUUAUUAUUAUUUUACUUUAAUACUUAUUUAUAAGUCUACAACACACGGUAAGCACACACAAGGUGCUCAACAUGUGUGCUUGAAGUAAAUUUAAUUUUGAAUGAGGUUAAUUUGGUCAUUUUAUAUAAUACUCAAUGUUUCUUUUACUUGUACAAAAUGCAAAAUUGCUUUUAUGGACAUCAAAUGACCAAAAACCCAGUAUCCUUUAACUCAUUGUCAUAUGUUAUAGAACAUUGCAAUUGGUUGAAAAUGAACUUUAAUGUAGUUGCAAUAUAAUUAUUUUUACUUCUUGUCAAAACUGCCCCUAUGCGGCUUAAGCUUAUUUUAUCAACUAUUUGUUAUUACGUGGAGAAAUUAAAGACAUCUUUAGAUGAGUCCUUUUAAGCGGUACCGACCUAGAUAUAUAUAUUCUUUUCGUUUUAUUUAUGUCAUUUUUACUAAAAAUAGGUAAUAUUUAAUAUUUAUCAUUUCACAAAAGUAAUGCAUUAUAUAGUAAUGAAAUCGACUCUCUGAACUCUGUGACGGACCGUCACAGGUACGACGAACCGUCGUGAGCCCCCGUUUCAAAACACUUCAACUCUUGAGAAUUUGGUACAGGGAACGAUUCUCUGAACGUCAUGACGGAGGUGCAGGACGGACCGUCGUAGGUACGAUGGGCUGUCACAGACUCCUUAAGGAAAUCGAGUCUUUGACGAACCUGCAUGACGGACCGUCGCAGGCACGACGGGCCGUCGCAGGUUGCGCAAUCCCAGUCUGGGUCAGAUUUCUUUACACAUUUUAAGGGACGUUUUUGACUAUUCCUUCUUUAAUUAUAAAGUUAGUGGGUUAAUGUUAAUAAGUCUAAUUACUUGGGGGUUAAAAGAGGUAACCUCAAGUUAAUUAGUGGGUUAUUAUUGCCAUCUUUCAUUCUUAAUUAUAUACUAAUUAGGGUAAAAGAAAGAGGGUUUGAAUAAAGAAAAUAGAAAGAACACAAAGAGAGAGAGGGAGAAUCGAACGAGAAGGUGAAAAGAAGAGGAGAAACACAAAGCUUUGGGAAAUUGCUUGCUUGAUUUCUUGUCUUCGGUGGAGGUAGGUUUUGGUUUUCAUGCUAUUCGUAGUAAACUCUUAAUAGCGAAUGAUAUGUGUUAGUAGUAUUGUAAACCCUUCUAUAUGCUUAAUUGUAUGCUUGCAUGAAUGAUGUGAUUAUGGAAUUAUGAAUAAAUAAGCAUGAUGAAGUUAUUGAAUCCCAAAUCUUGAAAAGAAACCUUAAUCUACUUUGUUAAUGAUGAUGCCUUGGUAUAAAAGAAGGCUUGAUGAACGAAAGGGGUGAGAUUAGGGGAUCGAGUGCCACAUUCUGGUACCAGUAUAGAGAUAGAGGAUCGGGUGCCACGUUCCGGUACCAGGAUAGAAUGAGGAUCGAAGUGUCACGUUCCGACACCAGGAUAGUAUAUGGAUCGGGUGCCACGUUCCGGUACCAGGAUAGAAUGAGGAUCGGAGUGUCACGUUCCGACACCAGGAUAGUAUAUGGAUCGGGUGCCACGUUCCGGUACCAGGAUAGAAUGAGGAUCGGAGUGUCACGUUCCGACACCAGGAUAGUAUAUGGAUCGGAGUGUCACGUACCGACACGAGGGGAAUAAAUAUAAUGAAUCUUGUAAGAUGCUAAUAUACUCAAUUUAAUGAAACUAAUUCCCAAAUGAGUAUGAUAUUGAGGCUUGAGUCCUCACGUGUGAACUUGACGGUAUUUGUUAAUGAUAUAGUACUUGUUGUUGCUACAUGUUGAGUAUCAUAGUUGAUUUUAUGAUAUUGCUUAAUAUAUAUUGUUUUCUAAUUUCGAGUUGACCGAUGAUAUCUACUCAGUACCCGUGUUUUGUACUGACCCCUACUUUUGUGUUUUCUUCUUUGUUAUUUGUGGAGUGCAGCAAACAUGCCGUCGUCUUCGACUCAACAGUAUUCAAGCCAGUCUUUACUACACCGGAAAUUCAGGGUGAGCUAAUGCUUCUAGCUUGGACUGGAUCUUCUUCUUCAAGUCUUGAUGCCUUGAACUUCCGGCAUGGACUAGCUUCUUAUGUAUUUUUAGCUUCUUAGACAUUUUUAGUUAGUAAUUUGAUCAUAGAUGUUCUUGUGAUGAUGACUUCCAGAUUUUGGGGAAUAAUAGUUAUUGAAUUGGUUUUUAUUUAAUGAGCUUAAGUCUUCCGCAUUAUUUUCUAUUGAUAUACGUUGAAAUGAUAAGGUUUAGAUUGGUUGGUUCGCUCACAUAGGAGGGUAAAUGUGGGUGCCAGUCGCGGCUCGGUUUUGGGUCGUGACAAACCUUGUAUCAGAGCAUUAGGUUCGUUGGUCUCAUCACACAAGAACGAGUCUAGUAGAGUCUUAAGGAACGGUAGGGGGGCGCCUUUACUUUUCUUUGAGGGGCUAUAAGACUUUAGGAAAUUCCAUUCUUUCUUAUCUCUUUCGUGAUACUACUUGAAUCCAAUUGGUAUCUAGGUGAUUCAAAUUGGUAUCUGACCAUCUUCACUCUAUUUCGCAGAUGGUUAGAACUAGAUCAACGACUGCGCCAACACCAACACCGGCAAGACAAGAAACGUCUGAGCCAGCCACUGGGGCUGUGGCUCAAGGAAGAGCAAUAGCAAGAGGUCGUGGUAGAGUUCGUGGGAGGACGUCCUCUAGAGGGAGAGGACGAGUACCUAGCCCAUCUGAUGCUAGGGCGGUGACUCCUCCACCGACUGAGGAAGUAGUAAGAGAGGGUGAGGAAGGGGAGAAUGAACAAGUGCAAAAUGAUGAAUUGCCACCCCAACCUACCCCAGAGAUGAUCAAUCAGGUUCUCGCUUAUCUUAGUGGGUUAUCUGAUUAGGGCCAGACACCUCCAGUGUUUUCUGCACCAGUACCUCAGGUUCCGGAGGUACAACAUGCGGCUACUAUGGCUCCUCGUAUGGAUGCCUCAUUGGACAUAGGCACGUUUCCACGUCUGACUACUGGGCCUAUAAUGACAAAUGAUCAGCAUGAACUUUUCAGUAAGUUCUUGAAAUUGAAACCCCCAGUCUUCAAGGGUGCUGAAUCUGAGAAUGCUUACGAUUUUCUGGUUGACUGUCAUGAGCUACUACACAAGAUGGGUAUAGUAGAACGGUUUGGUGUUGAGUUCGUGAGUUAUCAGUUUCAAGGGAACGCCAAAAUGUGGUGGCGGUCACAUGUUGAGUGUCAACCAACAGAGGCACCACCUAUGACUUGGGCCUCAUUCUCUAGCUUGUUUAUGGAGAAGUGUGUCAACCAACAGAGGCACCACCUAUGACUUGGGCCUCAUUCUCUAGCUUGUUUAUGGAGAAGUAUAUCCCCCAGACUUUGAGGGAUAGGAAAAGGGAUGAGUUCUUGAGCCUAGAUCAAGGUAGGAUGUCGGUUAAUGCAUAUGAGGCUAGGUUUCGCGCACUAUCCAGGUAUGCCACUCAACUUUGUUUCAGUCUACAAGAGCGGAUUCGCCGGUUUGUGAAGGGGUUGAGGUCAGAGUUGCGGAUUUCGGCCUUACAGGUAGCGGCUACGGCAAAAUCCUUCCUAGAAGUGGUAGACUUCGUGAUAGAGGUGGAAGGAGUGAAGCCCAAUGACUUCACCUCGACAUCGACAUCAAAAAGGUUUCGAAAGGGAGGUGAGUUUAAUGGUUCUUACCCUAGGGGAUAGGGUUUCGGAGGUUACUCAGUCCGACCGAUUCAGUCUUCACUACAGACUGUAGUUGGGGGUCCACCUCAGACCGGUCAAAACUUCCUUGAGAGACCUAUGCAUGAACCAAGAAAGUGCUAUGGAUGUGGGGAGAUUGGAAAUAUUAAGAGAUAUUGUCCAAAACAGAGUUACCGACCCCCAAUAGCUAGAGGUAGAGGUGGUUAUGGAAGAAGUCGUCAUUCUGGAGGACGCGGUGGUCGAGGUAAUGGUGGUCACCAAAACGGCCGGGGUGAUGGGCAAACUGGAGCCACUACAUCACAACAUGGUAGGGGCAAUAGACAGACAAGUAAUGGGGCUCAUUGCUACGCUUUUCCUGGGAGAUCUGAAACGGAGACAUCAGAUGCUGUCAUCACAGGUAAUCUUUUAAUUUGUGAUUGCAUGGCUUCUAUAUUGUUUGAUCCUGGAUCCACAUUUUCUUAUGUAUCUUCCUCAUUUGCUAAUGGUCUAAAUUUACGUUGUGAAUUACUUGACAUGCCUAUUCAUGUUUCUACUCCGGUGGGUGAGUCUGUGGUAGUUGAAAAGGUAUAUAGGUCUUGUUUGGUGAACUUUGUGGGGAGCAACAGUUAUGUAGAUUUGGUUAUCUUAGAAAUGGUUGAUUUUGAUGUAAUUCUGGGUAUGACUUGGCUUUCUCCGCAAUUUGCGAUCUUGAUUGUAAUGCUAAAACGGUGACGUUAGCCAAGCCUGGGACAGAUCCGUUAGUGUGGGAGGGUGACUACACUUCCAAUCCGGUGUGUAUCAUCUCCUUUCUUCGUGCUAAGAAAAUAGUUAGUAAAGGGUGUUUGGCUUUCUUGGCACAUCUCAAGGAUGACACUACCCAAGUACCCUCGAUUGAGUCAGUUUCGGUAGUCCGUGAGUUUUUGGAUGUGUUCCCUGCAGAUCUUCCUGGUAUGCCACCGGAUAGGGAUAUUGACUUCUGUAUUGAUCUUGAACCGGGUACUCGCCCCAUUUCUAUACCCCCUUAUAGAAUGGCUCCCGCCGAAUUGAGAGAGUUAAAGGCCCAACUUCAAGAGUUGUUGAGCAAAGGUUUCAUUAGACCAAGUGCAUCUCCUUGGGGUGCUCCGGUUUUGUUUGUAAAGACGAAGGAUGGGAGUUUUCGGAUAUGCAUAGACUACCGGCAGUUGAACAAGGUAACCAUAAAGAACAAGUAUCCUCUUCCUCGCAUUGAUGACUUGUUCGAUCAGUUACAAGGUGCUCGUGUCUUCUCUAAGAUUGACUUGAGAUCCGGUUAUCAUCAAUUGAAAAUACGGGCAACGGAUGUGCCAAAGACUGCUUUUAGAAUCAGGUAUGGGCAUUACUAAUUUGUAGUGAUGUCUUUUGGUCUUACGAAUGCCCCUACUGCGUUCAUGAGUUUGAUGAACGGGAUUUUUAAGCAAUAUUUGGAUCUCUUUGUGAUCGUAUUUAUUGAUGAUAUACUGAUAUACUCAAAGAGCAAGAAGGAACAUGAAGAGCAUUUGAGAAUGGUAUUGGAAAUGUUGAGGGAGAAAAAUCUUUAUGCCAAGUUCUCUAAGUGUGAGUUUUGGCUAGAUGCAGUGUCCUUCUUGGGGCAUUUAGUUUCUAAGGAGGGAGUGAUAGUGGAUCCUUCCAAGAUUGAGACAGUGAAGAAUUGGGUAAGACCUACUAAUGUGUCAGAAAUAAGGAGCUUUGUUGGGUUAGCUAGCUACUACCACCGAUUCGUCAAGGGAUUCUCUUCUAUUGCUUCCCAACUGACGAACUGCAAAAUGUUCCAUUUGUAUGGUCGGAUGAGUGUGAGGAAAGCUUUCAGAAGCUCAAGACUCUGUUGACUACUGCACUAAUUCUCACCUUGCCAGUGGAAGGUAGGAAUUUUAUUGUCUAUUGUGAUGCAUCCUAUUCGGGUUUGGGUGCAGUGCUAAUGCAAGAGAAGAAUGUGAUUGCUUAUGCUUCGAGGCAAUUAAAAGUGCAUGAACAUAACUAUCCAACUCAUGAUUUGGAAUUGGCUGCGGUAGUGUUUGCAUUAAAGCAAUGGAGACACUAUUUAUAUGGGGUUAAGUGUGAGGUCUACACGGAUCAUCGUAGCCUUCAGUAUGUCUUUACUCAGAAAGAUUUGAACUUGAGACAGAGGAGAUGGAUGGAGCUACUAAAGGACUAUGAUAUCACUAUCUUGUAUCAUCCGGGGAAGGCGAAUGUUGUAGCGGAUGCUUUAAGUAGAAAGGCGGGAAGCAUGGGAAGUCUAGCCCACUUGCAAGCUUCUAGACGCCCAUUGGCUAGAGAAGUUCAGAUUCUGGCUAACGACCUUAUGAGAUUAGAAGUAAAUGAGAAGGGAGGAUUUUUUGCUUGUGUGGAGGCAAGAUCUUCCUUCCUUGACAAGAUUAAGGGAAAACAGUUUGAUGAUGAGAAACUAAGCAGAAUCCAAGAUAAGGUGUUGCGAGGAGAGGCUAAGGAAGCACAAAUCGAUGAGGAAGGUGUUUUGAGUAUUAAGGGAAGGGUAUGUGUACCCCGCGUCGAUGAUUUGAUCAACACUAUUCUGACAGAGGCUCAUAGUUCAAGGUAUUCGAUACAUCCGGGUGCAACAAAGAUGUACUGUGACCUAAAGCAACACUUUUGGUGGAGUAGAAUGAAGCGUGAUAUUGUGGAUUUUAUUGUCAAAUGUCCAAACUGUCAACAAGUAAAGUAUGAACACCAAAGGCCCGGAGGAACACUUCAGAGAAUGUCCAUUCCUGAAUGGAAGUGGGAAAGGAUUGCAAUGGAUUUCGUGGUUGGUCUUCCAAGGACAUUGGGAAAGUUUGAUUCUAUUUGGGUAAUUGUUGAUAGGUUAACUAAGUAUGCUCAUUUCAUUCCAGUUAAGGUGACUUACAAUGCCGAGAGGUUAGCCAAGAUCUAUAUCUCAGAAAUCGUUCGAUUGCAUGGGGUUCCACUAUCCAUCAUAUCAGAUAGAGGUACGCAAUUUACUUCUAAGUUUUGGAAAACAUUGCAUGCGGAAUUGGGUACUAGGUUGGACCUUAGUACUGCGUUCCAUCCUCAGACCGAUGGUCAGUCUGAGCGAACGAUUCAAGUGUUGGAGGAUAUGCUUCGUGCAUGUGUGAUAGAAUUUGGUGGUCAGUGGGAUAGCUUCUUACCCUUAGCAGAGGUCUCCUACAACAAUAGCUAUCACUCAAGUAUUGAUAUGGCUCCAUUUGAAGCAUUGUAUGGUAGGAGGUGUAGGUCCCCCAUUGGUUGGUUUGAUGCAUUUGAAGUUAGACCUUGGGGUACUGACCUUUUGAGGGAUUCAUUAGAGAAAAUGAAAUCUAUUCAAGAAAAGCUUCUAGCGGCGCAAAGUGGUGAUGCGGUUUGGUAAGCAAGGUAAACUUAGCCCAAGGUAUAUUGGCCCAUUUGAAGUACUCAAGCGAAUAGGGGAGGUGGCUUAUGAGUUAGCCUUGCCUCCAAGGCUGUCCGGAGUACAUCCGGUAUUCCAUGUGUCGAUGUUGAAAAGAUACCCUGGGGAUGGAAACUACAUUAUCCGUUGGGAUUCAGUUUUGCUUGAUGAAAAUUUGACUUAUGAGGAGGAGCCUGUUGCCAUUUUAGAUAGAGAAAUUCGCAAGUGGAGAUCAAGGGAGAUUGUAUCCAUCAAAGUUCAAUAGAAGAAUCGACCAGUCGAAGAAGCCACUUGGGAGAAAGAGGCUGAUAUGCGAGAAAGAUACCCACACCUUUUACAGAUUCAGGUACUCCUUUUCGCCCUUGUUUUCCUUCUUGUGAUCGUUCGGGGACGAACGAUGGGUAAAUUGGUAUCUAUUGUAACGACCUGUUUAGUCAUUUUGAGCAGCAGACUUCAAUUCUGGAAAAACUGGCAAAAACGACUGACCCCACGACGGACCGUCAUGGGCACGACGGACCGUCGAGGGGGUCUCGUUCCAUAACACUUAGAAAAUAGAAAAUUGGGUACUGAAAUCGACUCUCUGAACUCUGUGACGGACCUGUAGGACGAACCGUCACAGGUACGACGAACCGUCGUGAGCCCCCGUUUCAAAACACUUCAACUCUUGAGAAUUUGGUACAGGGAACGAUUCUCUGAACGUCGUGACGGAGGUGCAGGACGGACCGUCGUAGGUACGAUGGGCCGUCACAGACUCUUUAAGGAAAUCGAGUAUCUGACGAACCUGCAUGACGGACCGUCGCAGGCACGACGGGCCAUCGCAGGUUGCGCAAUCCCAGUCUGGGUCGGAUUUCUUUACACGUUUUAAGGGACGUUUUUGACUAUUCCUGCUUUAAUUAUAAAGUUAGUGGGUUAAUGUUAAUAAGUCUAAUUACUUGGGGGUUAAAAGAGGUAACCUCAAGUUAAUUAAUGGGUUAUUAUUGCCAUCUUUCAUUCUUAAUUAUAUACUAAUUAGGGUAAAAGAAAGAGGGUUUGAAUAAAGAAAAUAGAAAGAACACAAAGAGAGAGAGGGAGAAUCGAACGAGAAGGUGAAAAGAAGAGGAGAAACACAAAGCUUUGGGAAAUUGCUUGCUUGAUUUCUAGUCUUCGGUGGAGGUAGCUUAUGGUUUCAUGCUAUUCGUAGUAAACUCUUAAUAGCGAAUGAUAUGUGUUAGUAGUAUUGUAAACCCUUCUAUAUGCUUAAUUGUAUGCUUGCAUGAAUGAUGUGAUUAUGUAAUUAUGAAUAAAUAAGCAUGAUGAAGUUAUUGAAUCCCAAAUCUUGAAAAGAAACCCUAAUCUACUUUGUUAAUGAUGAUGCCUUGGUAUAAAAGAAGGCUUGAUGAACGAAAGGGGUGAGAUUAGGGGAUCGGGUGCCACGUUUCGGUACCAGGAUAGAGAUAGAGGAUCGGGUGCCACGUUCCGGUACCAGGAUAGAAUGAGUAUCGGAGUGUCACGUUCCGACACCAGGAUAGUAUAUGGAUCGGGUGCCACGUUCCGGUACCAGGAUAGAAUGAGGAUCGGAGUGUCACGUUCCGACACCGGGAUAGUAUAUGGAUCGGGUGCCACGUUCCGGUACCAGGAUAGAAUGAGGAUCGGAGUGUCACGUUCCGACACCAGGAUAGUAUAUGGAUCGGAGUGUCACGUACCGACACGAGGGGAAUAAAUAUAAUGAAUCUUGUAAGAUGCUAAUAUACUCAAUUUAAUGAAACUAAUUCCCAAAUGAGUAUGGUAUUGAGGCUUGAGUCCUCACGUGUGAACUUGACGGUAUUUGUUAAUGAUAUAGUACUUGUUGUUGUUACAUGUUGAGUAUCAUAGUUGAUUUUAUGAUAUUGCUUAAUAUAUAUUGUUUUCUAUUUCGAGUUGGCCGAUGAUAUCUACUCAGUACCCGUGUUUUGUACUGACCCCUACUUUUAUGUUUUCUUCUUUGUUAUUUGUGGAGUGCAGCAAACGUGCCGUCGUCUUCGACUCAACAGUAAUUCAAGCCAGUCUUUACUACACCGGAAAUUCAGGGUGAGCUAAUGCUUCUAGCUUGGACUGGAUCUUCUUCUUCAAGUCUUGAUGCCUUGAACUUCCGGCAUGGACUAGCUUCUUAUGUAUUUUUAGCUUCUUAGACAUUUUUAGUUAGUAAUUUGAUCAUAGAUGUUCUUGUGAUGAUGACUUCCAGAUUUUGGGGAAUAAUAGUUAUUGAAUUGGUUUUUAUUUAAUGAGCUUAAGUCUUCCGCAUUAUUUUCUGUUGAUAUACGUUGAAAUGAUAAGGUUUAGAUUGGUUGAUUCACUUACAUAGGAGAGUAAAUGUGGGUGCCAGUCGCGGCUCGGUUUUGGGUCGUGACAGCAUAGAAAGCUAAGUAACUAAUUCAUACUUAUUGGUCAAAUUAAAUAGUCAAAAUAAAUAAAUUCAUGUUUAUUGAUUGAAAACUUGACUUCAAAAAAACAGUAAGAAUAGAAUAAAAUUUGCUUAAUUUCGUAAUACACAUAAAAUCUAAAAUAGUGACAUAUAAAUAUGAUCGGAGAGAGUAUAAGUUAAUUCUCUAUUUGUAUCAUACAAAUAGAGAAUCAAGAUUUUAUUAAUGAUUUUUCUUUUAUUUUUUGAUGUAAAGCGCAGUCAAGGCAGCGAUUUCACUUUAAUUUUUUUUAAUUUUCUUACAUAAAUCGCUGGCAAUUUCUCCAAUCUUUUUGUAAAUUUUUUUUAAUUGUGUCGUAAAGCGCUGCAAUUGCAGCGAUAUUUUUUUGCUAAAAAAAUCAAUAUUGUAAAUCGUCUAUGCAUGACUUUAUUGAUUUUUCUUUUUUUUUUGAACAAAUUUUUAGUGGAUUUUUUUAUAAAAUUGAAACUUCUUUUUUAACGUAAGAAAAUUAAAAAAAAUUAAACUGUAAUCGCUGCCUUGGCAGGGAUUUGUUGUAAAAAAAAUUUAUUUUAAAAAAGUGAAUUGUACAAAUUGGUGCUAUAGCAGCGAUUUUCCUUAGCGUCGGCAAACAAAAUCACUACAUCCUAAGCGAUUUUAUCGUUUUGGUUAUAAAAAAAUUCAUAUACCUGUAACGACCUGUUUAGUCGUUUUGAGCAGCAGAUUUUAUUCUGGAAAAACAGGCUGAGGCGACGGACCCAACGACGGACCAUCAUGGGCACGACGGACCGUCGCAGGGUCUCGUUUGAAAACACUUAGAAAAACUGAAAAUUGGAUACUGAAAAUCGACUCUUUGAACUUCGUAACGAAAUGGCAGGACGGACCGUCACAGGUAUGACGGACCGUCACAGACCAUUGGUGGAAAUUUGGGUCUCUGAACUUUGCGACGACCUGCAGGACGGACCGUCGCAGGCACGACGGCCCGUCACAGGUUGCGCAAUCCCAGUCCGGGUCGGAUUUCUUGAUACGUUUUAAGGGACGUUUUUGACUAUUCUUGCCUUAAUUAUAAAGUUAGUGGGUUAAUGUUAAUAAGUCUAAUUACUUGGGGGUUAAAAGAGGUAACCUUAAGUUAAUUAGUGGGGCAUUAUUGCCAUCUUUUAUUCUUAAUUAUAUGUUAAUUAGGGUAAAAGGAAGAGGGUUUUGAAUAAAGAAAAUAGAAAGAACAAGAGAAAGAGAGACAGAGAGUCGAACGAGAAAGAAGAGAAACAAAGCUUGGAGAAAAAUUUGCUUGCUUGAUCACUAAUCUUCGGUGGAGGUAGGUUAUGGUUUCUCUUACGAUAUUCGUAGUAAACUCUUAAUAGAGAAUGAUAUGUAUUGAUAAUAUUGUAAACCCUGCUAUGUGCUUAAUUGUAUGCUUGCAUGAAUGUAAUUAUAUAAUUGUGAUUAUAUAAGCAUGAUGAAGUUAUUGAAUCCCAAAUCUUGCAAAAUCCUAAUCUCUUUGUUAAUAAUGAGGCCUUGGUAUAAAAGAAGGCGUGAUGAACUAAAAUAAUGGGAUUGAUGAUGCCUUGGUAAGAAAGAAGGCUUGAUGAAUUGAUGGAAGGAGAUUAGGGGAUCGGGUGUCACGAACCGACACGUAGAAUUAGGGGAUCGGGUGUCACGAACCGACACGUAGUAUUAGGGGAUCGGAUGUCACGAACCGACACGUAGUAUUAUGAGAUCGGGUGUCACGAACCGACACGUAGUAUUAGGGGAUCGGGUGUCACGAACCGACACGUAGUAUUAGGGGAUCGGGUGUCACGAACCGACACGUAGAUUUAGGGGAUCGGGUGUCACGAACUGACACAUAGAUUUAGGGGAUCGGGUGUCACGAACCGACACAUAGAUUUAGGGGAUCGGAGUGUCACGUACCGACACAAGAGGAUUAAUGAAUAUUGAGGGAGCGGAGUGUCACGUACCGACACAAGAGAAAUAAAGAUAAUGAAUCUUGAAAGAUAUUAAUAUACUCAAUCUAAUGAACAUGAUUCCCAAAUGAGUAUGGUAUUGAGGCUUGAGUCCUCAUGUGUGAACUUGACGGUAAUUGUUAAUGAUAUAGUAUUUGUUGUUGCUACAUGUUGAGUAUCAUAGUUGAUUUUAUGAUAUUACUUGGUAUAUAUUGAUUUCUAUUUUGAGUUGGCCGAUGAUAUCUACUCAGUACCCGUGUUUUGUACUGACCCCUACUUUUAUAUUUUCUUCUUGUUUAUUUGUGGAGUGCAGCAAACGUGCCAUCGUCUUCAACUCAACAGUAAUUCAAGCCAGUCUUACUACAUCGGAAAUUCAGGGUGAGCUAAUGCUUCUAGCUUGGACUGGAUCUUCUUCUUCAAGUCUUGAUGCCUUGAACUUCCGGCAUGGACUAGCUUCUUAUGUAUUUUUAGCUUUUAGAACACUCUUAGUUUAGUCAUUUGAUCGUAGAUGUUCUUGUGAUGAUGACUUCCAGAUUUUGGGGAAUAAUAGAUGUUGAAUUUUAGAAGUUAAUGAAUUGGUCUUUAUUUAAUGAGUUUAAGUCUUCCGCAUUACUUUCUGUUGAUAUUAUAUUGAAAUGUUAAGGUCAGAUUGGUUGGUUCACUCACAUAGAAGGGUAAGUGUGGGUGCCAGUCGCAACCCGGUUUGGGUCGUGACAAUACCUUUUUGAAAUUUUUGUUAAUAUUUUUCACCCUUUAGCCUCUGUACUUGCAUGAAUUACAAUAUUCUUCCUAUUUUACUCUUGUGAAUAAUUAGCUUUGAAAGUAUAUGUUUGAUCAACCUAGAAAAACUAAGUGAAUAGUUUAUGUUCAUUAAUUCAAUUAAUUAAUAAAAAUAAAUUAAUUAAUAUUUUCUUGACAAAUUCCUAUUUGAUUUUUUAAUUUAAUUCAAAAUUUUCAAGUUCCAUGUUUCACUCUUUUCUUGACGAGUUUUGUAAUAAACUAUGUACAAGAAAAGCUGUAGCUAUAAAGAAAUCAACGUAGUACAAAAUUGAAAAUUGUAUUUCAUUAAGUAAAAAAAUAGAAGGGCUUAACAACAAAACAAACUAAUUAAAUUUUAACUUAAACCCCCUGAAAUAAUAAUAAUAAUAAUAAUAAUAAUAAUAAAACAAUACUACAACAAGAAUCAUCAACCACAUACAUAAUAAGAGAGAAUAGACAAACAAAAAUUUGGAUACAACGAUGAAAUAACUAUAGAUAAUACAAAUUUGGAUAUUCAUUAAACUAUAUAUAGUGAAUAUCCUGAUACUAUAUUGCCUAAUUCUCGUUUCUAGGUACAUCAUCCAUGACAAACACGCCUAUUGAAACCCUUCAUGGAGGCGUAUAUCGGUGCCCAAUCCUUUUAUAACGAGGCGUAUAUAAGUGCUAAACUGUAAUGUUAAGAAAUACUUUUUAAUUAGUUUUCUAAAUAUAAUUUAUUCCUUUAUUUCUUUUUGUGUUAAUACUAGAACUAGAAUAGAUCAAUUGAUGUUCAUAACAAAUUCCAACACCUCACUCAUAAUGAAAUUGAUCAUAAUUUAAAGUACUAAAUCAUGCUAAAUAAGUUAAGUAAGUAUUAGUUACAUGCCUAAAUAUUAAAAGAAAAUAAAAUUAGAUCAUGUAUUUUAAUUGUUUAAAUCUAUGUAAAACUAAAAAAUAAAUAUUCAAUAUUAUUGUCAUUCUUAGUGUUGAAUUGAUUCGUUUUUUGCAUUAUUAUUAAUUUGAUUUUUAUUUAAACUUUAUUAUAAUUACCAACAUGUAUGGUCUAUAAUCUUUAUUUGAUAAUUAAGAAUUCUAACUUCCAAACAUAAAAUAAAUAUAGUAAAAGAUAAAAACUGUGAAAAAAGUAUAAGAGAUAUUUAUUAAUUAUAUCAAAGUAAGUAUUUUUACGUAUAAAAUAAAAACUUUAAUUUAUAUGUAUAAUGUCGGGUUGGUUUGGUCUCGGGUUGAUUUAUUAUAGUUGAAACCAACCCAACCCAAAUAUAGUCGGGGUUUUUUUUUCCAACACAAAAUUGAGUCAAACCAAACCACUAGUCAGGUUUUUUUUCGAUUUGACUAGGUCUGCGGGUUUAGUUCAAUUUUCGAUUUGAUUUUAUACACUCGAUUUUGAUUUUUGUGAUCUGUAGUAAGAGAUAUAGAGCAAGUCUUUUUUCCAUUAAACUUAUUUAUUUUAUUUUAUUUUUGUAGGAAAGAAGGGGGACCUUGUAUAAUUUUUUUGAUUUAGAUUUGAUGUAUCUUUGUUAAAAAAGUGGGUUACAUACACUCCUAUUAUCAUAUAAACGUGAAUUACUUUAUAAUGAGCGAUAUAUAAAUUUUAAUAAAUUAUAAAAUUGAGGAGGAGUAUAUCAAGACUUUUUACGGACUUGCGUAUUUAGAUAUUUUAGAGAUUCUGUUAAUUAAAGUAGAAGAGUAGGUGAAUAUUGGUAUGUUGAAAACAUGUGCUAUUUAUACUCAUGAAUAGAAUAAUUAAGUAGUAUAUAAUUGUUUAGUUAAACGUGUUGGGAGCCGUGCAUGCAUAUAUAUAUAUAUAUAUGCAUUUCAUGACAUAUAUAAUAAUAUAAUAAUAAUAUUAUCCAAUCUCACCAUUUAUUUAAUAUAAUAUUACAUGAUAAUUAAGAGGGCACUUCAUUUAUUUAGGUGUGUGUGAGUGAGUGAUGAUGGAGUAGUCCUAGGUAAUAGUGACGGUUGCUAGAGAUGUAAGUAUCCCAAAAAUUGCUGCCAAAGUUUGACCAACCACAUUCUCAAGUAAGUUUCCAAUAAGGAUAACGGGAGCUACAAGGGUUCCUGUGGUUGGAGUCAAAGUGCAAUUAGCAAUUGGGAGAGGAAUCCUUGCAAUACAUGUUCCUGACAAAAGACUUGUAUUGGUGGACACUGCAGCAUUAAUAAUGCCUUGACUAUUUGUGGACACUUGAGCAAUCGUUGUGUUGCCACAAAUAAUCGUUACAUUUGCUCCACUCACUCCGACGCCUGGGGCAUUACUUCCCGGUACGGAGCAAGACAAACUCCCCAAUAUACUUAAAUUAACAACACGAUCAACAACAGGUGGUACAAUCGGUGGUACUUGACCACCAACAGGUGGUACAAUCGGUGGUACUUGACCAACAACAGGUGGUACAAUCGGUUGGCCAAGAAUAGGACUAAGAAUGGGACCAACAAUUGGACCGAGAAUAGAACCAACAAUCGGUAAUUGGCCAAGACCAACAGGUGGUACUUGACCAACGGGUGGUACAAUACGUGGUGCAGGUUGCCCCAAAAUGGGACCCACAAAGGGAAUGGGACCCAAAAUGGGACGAACAAUGAGACCCAAACCUUGAGCAUGGGCUAGAGGACUGAUGGUGAUGAUGGAAAGUAGAACAACAAGGGAAAC
Molecule: long non-coding RNA, 74481 nt
Filed under: Solanum lycopersicum (tomato)
Lineage: Eukaryota; Viridiplantae; Streptophyta; Magnoliopsida; Solanales; Solanaceae
Description: long non-coding RNA (SLYC_LNC000696)
Source: RNAcentral